Molecule: long non-coding RNA, 79370 nt
Filed under: Coffea arabica (coffee)
Lineage: Eukaryota; Viridiplantae; Streptophyta; Magnoliopsida; Gentianales; Rubiaceae
Description: long non-coding RNA (CARA_LNC005304)
Source: RNAcentral
ACGGGGGUACCUAAAAUUAUUUCCUAAUUAGAGCAGUGAUUAACGGGCGUACCUUAAUCAUCGACACAGAAAGGAGGGGUUGACUGUCAUCGCUUGUUUGAUAGUUAUAACCUAUUUAUUGAUAAAUAAUUGAAAUUGUCUUUGCAUCGAUGAUCAAUUAGGUGAAUCAUUGCUGAAGUUAUUUCUUGGCUAGAUCUUUAAUUAAUAUUACCUUGAUUUUAGUGAAUUGCCAUUUGGCUUUUAGUUGCCUACUUUAUUUUAUUUUUAAUUAUUUUAUUGUUUUAAUUGAUUUAGGCCUUUAAUUAUUGUUACUCUGAGUUCAGUGAAUUGUUGUUUAAUUUCUAGUUAGUUAUUUAUUUUUUUUAUUUUUUUAUUUACAUUUAUUUGAUUGUCGUCGUUCCUACAAAAUCACCCCCUGUGUUACUUUGAAUUUCUUAAGAGACAAAUAUACCAAGUCCCUGAGAAUACGACCCUACUUGCCCUGUUUACAAAUUCAUAAUUAUUUGUGAAAAAAACCAUCAUAUUCGGGUAUAUCGGAUCAAGCUAACUCUUAGGAAACAGAGUGAAUCAAAUAACUCAUUGCACACCUAGAGUCCCUGUUUCAGUACUUGGAAUUGGAUUUUGGUCAUUUUAACUGGCAAUUAGGUUUAAUUUUAUUAUUGUACAAGUUUCGACACCCUGUCAGUUUUCAAGAACGUAAUCACACCAAAAAAUUUUAAUUUCGAUCAAUCACAGGGUAGGUUAGACUCAAGUGAUAAAAUCAAGAAAACAAAAAUCAAAAUUUAUUUUUGUUUCUUUUAAAUGAAAAGGCGGAAAGAUCUAUCUUGACCAGGUUAUUGAACAAUAAUUACCUUGUUAGAUCUAAAGAGAACUCGUCUCUAGAAACCUAGUGGAUUGGUUAUUGGUAUGGAACAAUAACUAUCUUACUAGACCUAAAGAGAACCCGUCUCUAUAAAUCUAGUGGAUUGGUUAUUGGUUUGAAAGAAUAAGAUGAUGUGAUCAUCUUGCCUUGAACACCACAAGUAUCCAAGUUAAAUAUUUGAUACUGUUCAAGAAGAAACUUAAGUUCCAUCGAGGAUCUACAUAAAAGGAGACAACUCUCUUUUUACUAAUUUAUCUUCAAUAUCAUUUAUGAAUAGUUAAAUAAAAUUGGUUAUUUAUAGCCUUACAAGACUCAAAACUCUAAUUUAAAUUGGAAACAAUACAAGUUUUCUUAUUUGAUUUGACACAACUUCCUAAAUAAAUUUGGAAGCAAUUAACUACUUUCCUAAAACUCUAAUUCAAUUAUAAUAGGAAACUAACUGACUCAAUUGGCUUAACUAUGGUCAGCCUUUAUUUCCUUUAAUAACUCAAGACUAACUAACAAGUAUUGUUGGAAACUUAUUUAAAUAAAUAACAAGAAAUAAGCAUGACAAAUUUUCAAUGAUUCUUGAACCCGAUUGCACAAUCAACCAUCAAUCGAAUUUUCUUGAAUUUGAAGGGAAUCUAAAUCUUUAUGUUCUCAUCAGAACAAUACCACUGUAAUGAUGAUGAGAACCACACCUCCAGCAACUGAACUAAUAAUCGCGGGCAAAUGCUUGUUUCCUGAUCCACUUCCAUCUGGAAUUGGACCUGGAAAGUUAACCAACUGCAUAAUCUCUACCCCAUUAAGAAAGGCUGUUUGAUUCCUAGAAUCUUGCCGUGGGCCAAUACUUACAUUCAUAAAACCAGAAUCAUCUGAAUGCACCACAAAAUCAAUGUAAAAAGGAACUGCCGUCAUGGCUGCGGUAGUUGAAUCUUGUGGAUCAAUUUUUUGGCUAAAGUUACUAUAAAUAUAGAGAUUGAAUUUCAAUUUCCCGCUACCAGCCUGACUAAUUACGUCACAAAAAUGCACCCGGACUAGAAAUUUGGCAUUUCCAUUUACAUUGAAUCCCCAAGAAACAUUAGAAUUUGUUUUCGGGAGAGUGACACCUUGCUGACUAGGAGCGAUGUUGAGCUCUUUGGCAGUGUUAUAAACAGGGUCAGGAGCAUCAAACUUUGUUGCAGAUCCAGGCUGGUAAUUAGGCGGUGCACUACGAAAUGGAGUGUUAGUGGCUGCAUCCCAGAAGACCAAAUAAUCAUCAUCAGGUAUCCAAUUUCUCCCCAAAGUAUCAGUGUCCGGUGUUACAGUCAAUCCACCAACGCUAAUCCUAUGAACUACUUGUAAAGCAUUGGGCAACAAACCAUUGUAAACUCCUUUGCUUCCAGCAGGAGUUAUGUAAAAAGGAGAAUCCUGAAUGAAGUUAUCAGGAGCAAGAAAUGCUUCUAUAGCAUUAACAAAGGCAAAAGAAGAUGACCCGGAAGGCGUGAAGUAAAUUUGGAAAUUCCCCACAUCGAUACGGAUCAAGAACUCUUUAAUCACAGGUGAUUUACUGGUGCUACUAUUUUGGACGCUGAAGUUGGAUUGGAGUGAAAACUUGGAAGUUGACGCGUCGAAUCUGACAGUAGCAAGAUUAUCUGGAGAAGUGAAAGCAUAGAAGUGAAAACGUACCACGUAAAUGCCAUUCUAGACAAGGUCAAGAUCAUAUGAAGAUUUUUGUCUGAAAAUUCUUGCAGUUUGAUAGAGUGGAGAAGAUGCUGAAUCCGAUGAUUGGUCUUCUUUGGCUAUGUUGCUGUGGCUUGUGGACAAGGUGAAAGAAUCGGGAUUGACGUCGCCGACGAAGUUCCGCCCGUAGACGGUUGUGCUGCCACUUGAGCCACAGUUGAUGAAGUAGCGAUCAGGUACGCUGUAAGCGGAGGUGUUGAUUCCGUUGAACAACAAAAGAUAGCAGCACAAAUUGAAGAGGACAUAAACUGUUUUUGGAGGAUGAAGGAUUUCCAUUGAAUUUUAGUGGAAAUGGAUGAGUUUCAUCAAGAUGGUUUCUUGAGUCAGUACUGUGAAGUCCACGGAAUGGGAAGCCUUAUAGUCUUUAGCUAACUUUUUCUCAUGCGGGUACGAAAUGGAAGAGGACAACACAUCCGCCUGAAGCUGCAUUAAAUUUUAGGGAUAAUUUCAGACCUCCCUUCAAAUUUGAAAAAUUAUAGAAGCCUCCCCCUAAAAAGUAUGUUUUAAUAACAAAUGGUGACGUCAGCACAAAAAAGUACUGCCCCAAUUUGAUUUAACAAACAAAUUAAAUGCAAAAGAAAUCAAAUAUCAGCAUUACUUAUUAAGUAAAAAAAAUUUUGGCAACUCUUCUUUGCAGCAAAAUUUAGGUAAUGUUUCAAGGCAUUAUUUUUAAUGUUUGGAUUUCUUUUUCCUUUUUUUCUAAUAAAUUAUGAAGAAAUUGUUUUUAAUAAAUGCACCCCUACUAAUCAGCUAUUUAUAAAACUAAGUAGAAAAUCCAUUUAAAUGACCUAAGAAUUGAAUACAAUGUAUUACUAGCCGAGAUGGAGUUAAAGCUUUUGGAUAAAGAAAUAUUUCCGAGAUGCGAUUUUCUUUUUCCUUUACACCCACUUUUCACUUAAGAUUUGUAAAACUGUCAAAACUAUUAUAGACUUUUUAUAACACCAACGAAGAUCAGUGUAAUUUUUUAAAUCUCAAGUCAAGAAAAUUGGCUGAAUUGUUAGAAAUCUCAAGAGAAGUUUAUGAAACUAUUUCUAAAAAUUUAAGGAUCCGGAGCCCUUCCAUAUUUGAGUUCUGUCCAAUUGGAUAAAGAGUAAAUCUUAUAUACACUGACGGUAUAUACACCAUCACAAUUGAAUAUACGACGACACAUAUAUAAAAUUUGAGUUUCAAAUCAAAUUCGGAUUAUGUGUCACGUAUCUAACGGUGAAAGUGUAUACACUAUCAGUGUAUAGAAGAUUAAUCCUUGGAUAAACUAACACAAUUUUUUUUAUAUAAACUGAUAUAUUAUUGAUGUAAUCGUGAGUUUUACAUCAACUUCGUUAUAAUUCACGUUAUAUAAAAAAACUUGUAGUAUCAAUUUAUAAAUUCUUAACAAUUCACACAACUAGCUAGACACGAUGGGACCCCUAUGUCCUAUCAAACUUGUGGCGGAAGGUGAGUGAAAGAAACACGACUUUGACUGCGGCAGGCGGGUUGACUUCUAGUCGUCGGAUGAGUACAUAUUAGAGUGCGGAUUCCACUUCCCAGUAGAGAUUAAUAGUUGACGGAGUCCACCACUCACAAGCAUGAAUUCUUAUUUUGAUUUUUUUAGGGCAGUAUUGUUUAAGCAAAAAUCAGGAGUAUCAGAUACAAUAUCCUUUAUUCUGUCUCAAAUUAAGAAACCUUUUUUGAGUGAGAAAAAGGAUUGUAGGCUUUAGGAUUCUUGUGUGCUAGCUCCCUAUGUUGAUGCUUUUUUCUGUUGAAAAAUUUCAAAAGUGUUUGUUUUUUUUUUCUUUUUGAUGGGUGGAAAAGUCAGGAAAUAAUUACCGGAUUGUAUUUUUCUGAAUUUUUUGUAGAAAAAUUUCACAAGUAUGGAAGUAUCUUUAGCUAGGUGCAAGGAGUUCAACUACAAAGAUAAAAAGUAAGAAGGGAAAAGAAAUUUCAAUUGCAAAUUAAAAAAGGGUAAACAACAAAAAAGCCCCCUGUGGUUAAGCAAUCAUAUAUAAAAGCCCCCUGUGAUUUCAUAUCAUACCAGUCGAUACCCCGUGAUUUGAAUUAACGUGAAAAGUGGACGGAAAUCGUCAAAUAUUCGGCGUGUGUCUUAAACGAACUGCAAAGGCGCGUGCAUAUGCGAAAAACAGAUUUCCACCACAAACUUUCACCUGAUAUGCCUACUUUGCCCUUCACUCUUUAAUAAUAAGAGAUCAGCUUCCAAGUCUUCCGACUCUUCAUGUUCGGCCAAAAUUGAAGAUUGAAGGCAGCAUUCGAAGCCUGUGCAAGUAAUCAAUCAAGCAGAGCUUACAGGCUAGCAAAGGAAUUGCAGGAAACAAAGCCUUAAGGUAAAAAUGUAAACUGUAUCUGUAUAUAUUCGGUCUGCAAAUUCUGAAGGAAAAGUGCAGAAAGUACCCCAAGAUGUCUUCCUCAAGCUCUCGACCAACAAGCGGGGGAAAUGGAGGCAGAGGUCUUCGAUACCAGUACAAGGUAUGUAAUUGUCGAAGGAAGGCAAAGCUAAAGAUUGUUGAGAAUCAGGUAAUAAUUUAGUGUGCUUCCAAGUUCACCUAGCAAUAAUUUAGUUAGUUCGGGAAAUGCCUUACUUAUCAGGAAGGACACGUUUCUUACCAGAUGCAGUUUCUUACGGAAAUCAAGGAAACAAGGUUUGCUUUCACAAAGAUAUACAUUACCUAUGUCCAUAUCUUUCAGGUUAUUUCCAUAGUUUAGGAUGGGAUAUGCUUUACAACCUAAAUUGAGGGGCCAUAUAGUAUUGGCAACCAAGACUGAUGUAGCAACAGAAGAGACUGAUUUGCCUGGAGCUGAUAAAGAUACUGGUGAAGUCUCUGAAAGUCCAUUAGAUGCUAUUGAAACAAACGAAGAUUCCUCUGCUAAAUCAGAUGGAAGCUCCAUUACUGCUCGAUCUAAGCGAACAAGACCCGUUAGGAAGAGUGACAUGCCUCCUAUCAGGACUGAGGAUUUGAUUCCUGGUGCAACUUAUGUAACUUGUGAUUUAUUUGUUUGGCAGCUACACGUGAAUUUUUUGGAGUAGCAUGAGAAUCAUUAAAGGUUUCUUUAUUUCUACUCUAACAAUUAGAUUGCAUGGAUCUUGCUUGCAAUUAAAUAGGGCAAGGUGAAUUUGACCUCUUCCAUAUGAUUAUUUGCUCUUUCUUGGGUAUGUAGUUGCCACUGACAUGCACUAUAUUGGAAAUACAAUUUUAUGUAGUGAAAGGGAAGAUAUUAUACAUCUUAUGUUUUUCUUUCCCAGUUUGCAAAAUGUGCGCACUACUUAAAUAAUUUCUUUGAUUUUGCAUGAAGGUUUUAGUACCUUGUCUCUGGUAUUCUGCAAUCUAAAAUUGCAUAUUUCUGUUUGUUCUAAAACAUUUUUGUGGAAAUAGAGUUCGUGCUGCUUUCUGUUUCUUUUGUUUGACUCUGCUGUUUAGCCAUCUGCAUCAACUGAGCUUCUUAGUUAUUUGGGGUAAGUCCAGACAGGGCCCUUGGGGGUAUGGGUUGGGGUGGGUUUUGGGAUAAGACAGACUUUAUCUAAACUUGAUUGGUUUUUGAAGUCUUUGUCUGCAAUUUUCGCUUAUAUCAAAAGGGUAUUUUCGUCUAUUCACUCAGCUCCGUCUGUUUUGACGAUUUCCGUCCACUUUUCAGGUUAAUUCAAACCACGGGGUAUCGACUGAUAUGAUAUGAAACCACGGGAGGCUUUUAUGUAUGAUUGCUUAAUCACAGGGGGCUUUUUUGUUGUUUAUCCAUUAAAAAAUAACUGACAAUAAUCAUCGCAAGAAAAAAAAGCUUGUAAAGGUAUCGAAGGAGAAUUGGACCACUCUUCAAUUGUCAGUUGGCACGUUCAGGCAAGUUGGCGCAAAAAAAAAAUUGAUGAAAUUGCAUUUUUUUUUAAAUCCUCUCACCCGCUCCAACAUCCUUCUUAUUAGGGUUGCAAACGAAUCGAGUCGGGUUGAGUUUUGACCUAAUCGAGUCAAGUCUUAACUUAGUUUUAUCGAACUCGAAUUGGACAAACUACCAAUUUAAAGCUCGAACUCGAAAAAAUAAAAAUAAUUUUUUUAAAAAAAAUAAAUAAUAAAAUAUUAGAAAUAUAUAAUUAUAAUAGUAAAAUAAAAAUAAAAAUAUAUAUACUUGAGUUCAUGAACCAACUCGUAAACUAAUGAGUUUAAUAUUUUUAAACUUAAACUCGAGCUUGAUUUGGUUAGUUUGAGCUCGACUUGAGCACUCAUGAGCCACUCGCGAGCAGUUCGAUUUGUUUGCAACCCUACUUCUUAUUUCUGGCUAUCACGCACAAAAUUUGAACUCUGAACUCGAUGAAAUUGCUUGAGUGAAAGCACAAUUUAAAAAAAGAAAGAAAAAAUCUUUCAAGUGAAGCACAACCAAUGAAAUUUGCACAUGUGCCACUCAAAAUCAUUGGCAAAUGAUAAUGUAGUUGGGCCAAGUCGUAAACCUAUUUAUAUGCUGUCACCAUCCCACUUUAUUUGUUGAUAGUUACUCUGUCGCUAAGUUGUUUCACUGCUCAAAAAGGUAGAAGUGGCCCGUUUGAAUUAUUAUCUUUUAAAAUUUUUAUUAAAAUAUAUUAUAAUAAUCUGAUGUAUCUAAAAUAAAAAAUUAAUUAAUAAAUGCAUUCAUAUAAAAUAUAAAAGUUAUUUUAGAAAAAAAAAGAUUUUUCAAACAUAAGCUUGGGUUAAAAACACCAAACUCUUGGUGACUGCAUAGUGCUUCGUGUGCCUGCAUGGCAUACUGUAGCUAACAAUACAUUCUACCUAACUCACUAAUUGAGAGCAGGUGUGUUUGAUAAAAUUAAAUUCUGAAAAUUAAAAUAUAAAAUCUAGAUUAAUUAAUUUAUUAAAUUGUUAAGUACUAAAUUUGAUAUGUUUAAAUGUAUAUCACAUUAAGUGAUGAAUGAAUAACUUAUCACUUAUUUUUAGGAGGAAGUUUUGCCUAAAAAAUUCGGUUUCAUUAAAUUUAUUCAGAUGUUUAAUUUUUUGUUAUCAAACUAGUCUAAAUAUUUUAAUAUUUGAAUCUAUUAAGCAAGUGCUGAAUUGAACUCGGGAUAAUUUCAAAAAUUGCCCCUGAGUUUGUUUGACAAUUUCACUAGCCUUACACAAACCUCCUCUGAGGUUAAGAUUUUGAUAACAAAUUAGUCCAAUUAAAAAAAAGGUAACAUUAAAAAAGUACUUUAAGGAGAGAGAUGUAACUUUUAUUCUAUCAAUACCCCUUAUGCAUGUACAUAAGUCGUAUUAGUAAAAGAAUAAAAAUAAUUACAAGUUAGAAACAAUUAAUACACACAUUUAACCACUCAAAAAGUUCACAUUUAAUAGAUUAGACAAUACAGAUAAGUAACAAAACUACACUAAUGAUUACAAGAUUUAACAAAAUAGACUAGUCAUCGCUUUUAAUAAUGAUUCUUGUAAUUUUGAGCUGAAAAAUUUUCGAAUUUUACCUUUCUUUUCCCUCCUUUCAGUUUUCUUUGAAACUCUUAAAGUUGUGAUAAUUGUAAAGUAAUUUUAUGAAAAUAAAGGAAAUGAUUGUAAAGUAAUUUCAUGGAAAUAAGGGAGAAAGAAGAGAAAAAAAAGAUAAAAUUUGAAAAUUUUUCUAUUCAAAAUCACAGGAAUCAUAGCAAACAUUAAGUUAAAAGAGAUGACUAGUUUGUUUUACUGAAUUUUGUAAUCAUUAGUGUAGUUUUGUUACUUAUCUGUAUUGUCUAAUUUAUUAGGAGAGAAAAGAAAGACAAAAUUUGAAAAUUUUUCUGUUCAAAAUCACAAGAAUCAUAGCAAACAUUAAGUUAAAAGAGAAGACUAAUUUGUUUUACUGAAUUUUGUAAUCAUUAGUGUAGUUUUGUUACUUAUUUGUGUUAUCUAAUUUAUUAAAUGUGAACUUUUUGAGUGGUUAAAUAUGUGUAUUAAUUGUUUCUAACUUUUAAUUAUUUUUAUUCUUUUACUAAUGCGACUUAUAUACAUGCAUAACGGGUAUUUAUAGAAUAAAAGUUUCAUCUCUCUCCUUAAAAUACUUUUUUAAUGUUAGUUUUUUUAAUUGGACUGACUUUAUUAUCAAAACCUUAAUCUCAAGAGUGGUUUGUGUAAUUUUACAAACUUCAGGAGAGACUAGCGAAAUUGUCAAGAAUCUCAGGAGAGGUUUCUGAAAUUAUCCCAUUGAACUAUCAAACAUGGCCUAAAAUACAAAUACAAAAUCCUACCACGAGAAGGGAUUCUUUCUUGGCUUUUUGAAGCUUCAUAUAUUACAUCCACAGAUUUCCUUUCCCUUAUUCUUAAACUUAUUUAAGUACUAGUUGAAUGGGCAUCACAUCUCGUGUGAGGCUGCACAGAUUACGAGUUCGGUAAAGUUUUUUGACUUGCACAAUUAUAUGUAUUUUAGCAAACUCGUCAGUUUUAAAUGGAAGAAACAAAUAAAGCAUAAUGAACUUAAUAAUGUCAUAUUUGAUUUCAAGAUUCUGCAAGUUCUGGACAUUGAAACUUUGUUGUCAUAACUAAUCAAACCUUAAUGUAGUUGAUGAGGUUUGGUGUGAAAAUAAGGUAAAUAUGACAUAUGGCAUAAGGUGCUUUAGUCCAUAAAAAGUUGAAAAAACAAAUGAAGACACGCUAUUGCGACGUUUCAGAAGUCUUUAAUUCAUUCCGAGAAUUUCCAUGGCUUUUGCCACUUCCAUUUGAACUGUAAUAGUCAUUGAUGGCCUAACUCUCUCCAAUUGAAGAAUUAGCAAUGCUUGAAUGUUGAUAUCAGCCUGUACAUUUCCUUUUGCUCAUGAUGAUAUCAGUAGGCACUACUGAUGUCUUGUUUGCUCAAGGACUGCCACAAAUAGAAAGGGCGACAAGCAUAGAUAUAUAACUCUACUAAUGAUCACGAGAAUAGGACAGAUAAAGAAGGAAAGCAGUGAAAAGCAGCAGAUGAGUUGUGAAUAGCUGAGCUGCAUUUCAAUCUUGUUAAAGCAAGGUAGAAGCUUCAUCAAAAGGUCUUGAAAGAUCAGAUUUGUGGUUGACCAAUAUGUCACAAUAGGUUUCUAUACAAAUACAGCAAACUGGCAGUCAAGAAUUCAAACAACAUCUACAUAUAUAUGUGUAGUGAAAAGUAAGUUAGACCUAGACAAGUACAUACUUACAGGGCAGAGAGAGCCAUCACCAUCCUCCAACUACAAGUAUUUGUACAAGUAUUUUAUGAUUUUAUGCAUACAAUCACAAUGACAGGUUGUCGAUGCAUGUGCAAUAAUAAUAAUGAAAAUCCUAGUUGUCAACAAAAGCAGUUUCGUGUCAAUUCUAAUACUGGAGUAGGGAUUCUGGAUGUGCAAUGGGUUACUAGAUUCACCCUAACUCCGAAGAGUUUGCUAAAUCUGAUAUAUCAGAAUUUAUUCACGAGAACUUGUUAAUUUGUAUAUAGGGCAAGUAGGGUCGAAUCCACAGGGAUUGGGAGUAAUUCGUUUCUACUAAAGUUCAAGUUAUGGAGGGAUUUUAGGGAAAUUAACAAUAAACUAUGCUAAUCGAAUAUUGCAAUUAACUAAAAAUUAAAUAGCAGACUAUAAAAACUCAAAUAGUAUUGGACAGCUCCAGUCAAGAAAUAACUUCGACAAUGGUUCACCUGAUUGAUUCUCGAUGCAAAGGUAAUUCCAAUUAUUAACUAAUAAAUAUGUUAUAACUGUCAAACAAGCGAUGACAGUCAACUCCUCCUUACUGUGUCGAUGAUUGAGGUACGCCUGUCAAUCACUACUUUAAUUGAGAUAUAAUCUCAGGUACGCCCGUGAGAUUUAAUUCCCCAAUUGCUUUACGUAUUAGAGUAGUUCUAUUCUAACCAAAUAACACACUACCAGGGUUAUUUUAAAUUAGCCUACGUAUUCCCCUAAUAUGAAUCUAAUCAUGCCAGUUACCACUAUUUUAGAGCAAUUGAACAAUUACGGAUUUAACGCUCCAAUUGACAUUAGGUUGCUAAAUUAAUUCAACAUCCGGGCCCAGGAUAUUUAACUAACAAAAAAAUCAUAAGCACUAUAAACAUAGAGUAUGCAAAUACCAGCAAAUAAAAGAAAUAAAUGAAAUUAGUUCGAUCUCACAAUUUUUAGAUGAGCCGAACCAUCCGUUGUUCCUUGACUAGAAAAAGAGAUUAGUUCAUCUCCGUUGAGAAAAAUCCACACAAAAUUCUAGAAUUAAUUGUUGCAUACAUCGUCUCUCAAUUGAGAGGAGCAAUCCGAUGGAAUAAGUCACAAAAAUAAGAUUCAAAAGUCAAAAUCCAAAGUAGUCAAGAAUGUUUGCUACUUUUUUCCAAUUCCUAUCUAUUCCCUACCUAAUUGUCUAUUCCUACAUGGCUACUCCAAUGAGUAAUAGGAAAAGAGAGUCCUGAUCUCAAUUGACUUCUAUCUUCUAUUCAACCGAAGCCAAAAAAGUAGGAAGUCUCCUAAUUGGCCCGUUUCCUGUUUUUGCUAAACUAUUUUUUCCAAUUCAAAUCUAACAAUCAACUAAUAGAAUAUUUGCGGUCCCACGUUGUACUUCCAAUUGGCAAUUGGUGUCUCGCGCCUGUCCCGCAUUUUCUGGACACGUUAAGAUCUGACUUGACGCGCCUACUCCAAAUAGCAAUUGUAGUGGAGAAUUUGCACCUUUUAUCACAUUUUAUUCCAACUCCCUGCAAUCAAUACAAAUUUCCAAAAGUGAGUAGAAUCCGUCAAUUAAUGCACAUUCAGUAAGAUAAUAGGAGGUAAUUAAUUAUAAAAUAGAUGAUAAAAGUGUGAUUUAUCAAUUCCCCCCACACCUAAACCAUGCUUGUUCUCAAGCAUGAGAACAACAAAUACACACCAAUUCCUGAUAAUGGCUAUCAAUCCAUCUACCUUAUUGCCAAGAUACCAAGAAAAACACCUAUCAAGCAUUAAUGGUCAAAGUCCAAAAAACAUCACUUCAGUUAGCUUCUAAACCGUAGACUCUCCCAAUUUAUGGCUAACUAUUCUAAGAAAAAUGAAUGGUCGAUCAACAUUUAUCAGUAAAUGGUCCAAUUAUUAACCAAAAUCUCAACAUUAAAUCCAUAAAUUGGCAAACUGACUUUAAUCACAUAUUGACACAACUUUCACACCAUUUUAUCACGCUUUCCUUUUUUUCUUUGUUUUUUUUCUUUUCAAUAGUAAUAAUAAACUUAGUCUCCAACUACUAGAGUCUUUUGACGCAAACUCCAACAUUUGUCAGAUGAAGGAAUCAGGUUACUCAGCUCCUAUCGCUACACGAUCACGUAUUCAUAGGUAUUACUAUUUUUUGACACGAGAAUCGACAUUUUUGGUGAAAAUUCCCGAUUAUUCAACAGUAAUAACUAGCGGAGUACAACCAACUUUUAUUCAAAGUCAGACAACAAAAUAACUCAAAGUAUCACAUAAAAUAGCAGCAACUAACCUCAUUUUUUCAAAUAUGGAAAAUUAAAGUUAAUAACUGGACCAAUUCACAUGAAAAUGCCAACCAGUUAUUCCCUAUGCCCAGAAAAGUUAACCAAAAAAUUGUAAGAGUCACAAAAGCAUCGAUAUUUACCAAAGAAAUAUUUUUUGAAUCUAACCAAAUUAGAUUGAUACACUUUUAUUACUAAAACUUGACAAUAGGCAGAAUUAAAGUCAACAACCAUUAUCAAUCCUUGGUAGUUCCAGAAGUGCUGAUCACUAAUAAAAGUAAAAAGAAAAGAAAAGAAAAACAGAACAAAUAACAAGAAAUAAGGAAAAAUAUCUAAAAACUAAAAAUACUAGCUAUACCACAGCUCCCCCCCACGCUUAAAUCCGACAUUGUUCUCAAUGGAGGUAAUAGAACAAAUAAAGCAAAAAGGAUAAUGAAACUUCCCCGAAUGCAUGGUGGAGGGUCUCGAUCGGCUAUGGGAUAGGUGGAAAUGGCGGUCGAGUGAAGAGGGCGAUGAGCGGCGGUGAUGCUUUAGUGGUGUGCCUAGGAUGUCUCAAAAGAGAGAGAGGGACGUGGCGGCCACAAUGAGGGAGGCACGCGAGGGGAGCGGCGGACGGCGAUGCGCGACGUGGAAGGCGGCGGCAGACUAGGUGGUGACAGGCGUGGUUCGCGAGAGAAAGAGAGUGAGUAAGGAAGUGGCGGCACGAGGAGAUAGGCGGCGCUUCGUGGGUUUCGACCGAGAGAGAACCAGGGGAAAUAGGGGAGAAAGAAAGGAAGAAAAGAGAAAGAAAAAAAAAGUUUUGAUUUUUUUUAAAAUUUUGAAUUUAGAUUUUAAAAUUUGAAAUUUAAAAAUUAAAUUUUAAGGUGAAACGAAAAAAGUGUAAAAUUUCUUUUUACUUUAAAAAUACAUACAUUUCCCUCGAACAUGACAUGGGCACGUCAAUAAGGCAAGAACCCUUUUAAUGAAUGUCCGUUGAAUUCAAAGUUACCACGUGUUCGGUUGAUGCGAGAGCGUCGUGAGGGUGGAAAUUCUUGUGAUGAAAACUCUGAGGAUUGUUGAUUAACAUGCGCCCUGGUGACACGGGCGCGUCGUGAGGGUGGAAACCCUUUUGAUGAGGACUCUGAGUAUUGACGGCGAGAACUCUUUUGAUGAAGAGUCGUUGAAUUAAAAGUUACCACGCGCCCGGUUGAUGCAGGCGCGUCAUGUCGGUCAGUCUGCUCCAAGAUCAAAGGAAGAGCUUUCCAGGUGACUUGACGCGGGCACAUCAUGAGGGUGAAAACCCUUCUGAUGGAGCAUCUGGGAAUUGCACGUUACCACGCGCCCUAUUGACGCGAGUGCAUUAUGUCAGGGGGAUACCUACUAAUCAUAAAAAAAAUAAAAAAUUAAACCAGAAAUCUGGCAAACUCUAUGAAAUCAUACUGAAUCUAUCAAAUAAAACUGAACAAACAACAAAAAGAAAUUGGAUUGCCUCCCAAUAAGCAUCUUUUUUUAACGUCUUUGGCUAGACGUUAAGCACCACUUCUCAAUCUUGAUGUAAUACAAAUUUUUUUUGCAAUCGAUGGCAUUCCUCCAAGAUCCAAAUAGUUAUUGAGUGCAACUAUCUUCUUCAAUUUUCUACUCAUUGUUACCUCACAAAAUGCUUUCAUUCCAUGAUACUUAUUUGUAGCAAAUUUGCAUUUACCCCUAUAAUCAAACUCAGAAAAUUUUUGCCUAGAAGGGUUAGUAGCAUGAAUGACAAAUACAGAAUGAAAGUUAAUAGGAUGUUUCAUUGUAUAAAAAAUAUUAAAGUAGACUAUUUCUCUAUUAAAUUCCAUUGUGAGAGUACCCUUACUGACAUCAAUCUUAGUUUGGGCAGUACUCAAGAAGGGUCUUGCUAAUAUAAUAGGGCUAGAUUUGAAGCACUUCUAUCAUCCAUAUAAAGCACGUAAAAAUCAGUAGAAAAAAUUAAUUCAUCUACUUGCACUAAAACAUCCUCAAUUACCCCAUCCGGAUAAAGCAAAUAUACGAUCAGCCAAUUGAAUUAUUAUCCCCGUUUCUUUCAAAGGUCCUAAAUUUAGGGAAUCAUAGAUUAAUUUGGGCAUCACGUUAAUAGAAUCCCCUAAAUCUAGCAUGACAUUUUUUAUAUUAGAAUGUCCAAUCUUACAUAGAAUAGUAAACAUAUCUGGAUCCCCACAUUGAGGUGGUAGUUUCCUUUGUAAAAUCGCUGAAAUGUUCUCACCUACCACAAUUUGCUCAUCCCUCCUCAACUUAUUCUUGUUGGCGCACAAGUUUUUCAAGAAUUUAGCAUAUUUCGGUACUUGUCUGAUUGCGUCCAACAAAGGGAUAUUGAUUGCCACCUUUCGAAACACCUCUAAAUUCUCUUUUUCCUUAACUUGUUUCUUUGGUUUCUUUAACCAGUUCGGAAAAGGCGAUGAGUUAGUUCUAACCUCAAUGAUUGGGUCAGGGAGUACCGCUGACUUUUUGCUGCCCUUACUCUCCUCCCUAAGUUCUUUCUUGAUCUUUUCUUCAUUCUUGUCCUUUGGAGUCACAAGUUCGAGUCCCUGAAUUUCUUUUCCGUUCCUUAAGAUCAUUGCACUUACGUUCUUCGGGUUUAGUUCAGGUUGAAACGAUAAUUUUUCGUGAACUUGGGAUUCCAGGCGGUUGAUUGCUAUUACCAUCUGACUCAUCUGACUUUGUAUUGCUUGCAUCUGUCUCAUUUGAUUCCUUAUAUUCAUUAGGUCAGAAUCCGUCUUUUGUUGAUUAGCAAUUAACUGCUUUAUUAUUUCUUCUAGAGACGGGCUAAAGCUUGUAGGAGGUGGUGGCUGCCGAGGUUCGUAUUGCUGUUGAUACCCUUACUGUCCAUUUGGUGCAAAAUUUGAUUGUCUAUUUCCUCCAUAACUAAAGUUAGAGUGAUCUCUCUAACUCGGAUUGUACAUGUUCGAAUACGGAUCAUAUGGCUUUCUUGGUGCGGCGCGUGACCAGCCAUGUUUACUUGCUUCACACUUUUUUCUUAAAUCAUUGGGCACAUCUCUGUAGAGUGACCCACAGCAGUGCAAAUCCCACACACCUUGGCUUGUGAAGCAUUUCUCACAACCAAUUACCUAAUAAAUGAUGUCAACUCAGUCAACUGUUGUUGGAUAGAGAAUGUCUCUAUCUUAUUCACUCUGUGCAUCGAGACAUCCUUUCUUUUAUCGAAUUGUUGCGAGUUCUCAGCCAUCCCUUCAAUCAACUCCCACGCUUCUCGAGAAGUCUUGUUCACCAGCGCCCCUCCACUUGCAGCAUCAACAAUACUCCUGUCUUUGAAAAGUAACCCCUCGUAAAAGUAUUGGAUGAACAAUUGGUCACUUAUUUUAUGCUAAGGGCGUUUGAUGCAUAACUUUUUGAAUCUUUUACAGUAAUCAUAGAGCGACUCUCCUGGGUGUUGCUUGAUACCGCAUAUCUCUUUCCUUAGACUUGCAGCUCGGAAAGCUGAAAAAUAUUUUUUCAAGAAUUUUUUUUUCAGUUGCUCCCAAGUGGUGAUACUACCUGGAGGUAGGUAAUACAAUCAGUUUUUUGCUGCGUCCUUGAGAAAGAAGGGGAACGCCCUCAUUUUUAUUUAUUUUUCCGUAAUUCUCGGGGGUUUCAUACUGUUACAAACAACAUCGAACUCUUACAAGUGCUUAUGAGACUCUUCACCUGACAAAUCAUGAAAAGAUGGUAAAAAAUGAAUUAAACCAGAUUUUAACUCAAACGGGAUAUUAUCAUUUAAACUCAAAAAAGUAAUGCAUAAGGGCUGCUGAUUUAAAUUAGGAGCAGCCAACUCCCUCAAUGUCUGUGCAUUAGUCAUAGUGACUUCUUCUCGAUCUAGGUCACUCGAAGUAUCACCAAGCGAAUUUGUUGAUUCAACCUCUGGAUCAAGUCUCUGAGAUGCAGUACUAGAUUACUCUUCUCUAAGUUAUCUGGUCUCUUUCCUUGUUUUACGUGCAGUCUUCUUUACUUCAGGGUCAAAAAUCAAUUCGCCUGUACGAGAAGAUCGAGGCAUAAAUUAGAAAAAUAUCAAAAAAUUAAUACGAAAAUGAACUUAAAAAAAAAGAAAUGAAUUAACUAACGCCAGUUCCCGACAACGGCACCAAAAAUUGACAGGUUGUUGAUACUUAUGCAAUAAUAAUAAUGAAAAUCCUAAUUGCCAACAAAAGUUGUUUCACAUCAAUUCUAGUAGUGGAGCAGGGACUCUGGAUGUACAAUGAGUUACUAGAUUCACCAUGGUUCCGAAGAGUUUACUAAAUCCGAUAUACCAGAAUUUAUUCACGAGAACUUGUUAACUUUUAUAUAGGGCAAGUAAGGUCAAAUUCAUAGGGAUUGGGAGUAAUUCGAUUCUACUAAAGUUCAAGUUAUGGGGAAAUUUUGGGGAAAUUAAUAAUAAGCUAUGCUAAUUGAAUAUUACACUUAACUAAAAAUUAAAUAGUAGACUGUAAAAACUCAAAUAGUAUUGGACAACUCUAGUCAAGAAAUAAUUUCGGCAAUGGUUCACCUGAUUGAUCCUCGAUGCAAAAGUAAUUCCAAUUAUUAACUAAUAAAUAUAUUAUAACUGUCAAACAAGCGAUGACAGUCAACUCCUCCUUACUAUGUCGAUGACUGAGGUACGCCGGUCAAUCAAUACUCUAAUUGAGAUAUAAUCUCAGGUACGCCUGUGAGAUUUAAUUUUUCAAUUGUCUUACGUAUUAGAGGAGCCCUAUUCUAACCAAAUAACAUACUACCAGGGUUAUUUUAGAUUAGCCUGCAUAUUCUCCUGACACGAAUCUAAUCAUGCCAAUUGCCACUAUUUUAGAGUAAUUGAACAAUUACGGAUUCAAUGCUCUAAUUGACAUUAGGUUGCUAAAUUAAUUCAACAUCCGGACCUAGGAUAUUUAACUAACAAAAUAACCAUAAGCACUAUAAACAGAGAGUAUAUAAAUACUGGUAAAUAAGAGAAAUAAAUGAAAUUAGUUCGAUCUCACAAUUUUUAGAUGAACCGAAACCUUCGUUGUUUCUUGACUAGAACCGUUGAGGGAAAUUCACGCAAAAUUCUAGAAUUAAUUGUUGCAUACAUCGUCUCUCAAUUGAGAGGAGCAAUCCGAUGGAAUAAGUCACAAGAAUAAGAUGCAAAAGUCAAAAUCCAAAGUAGUCAAGAAUGUCUGCUACUUUUUUCCAAUUCCUAUCUAUUCCCUACCUAAUUGUCUACUCCUAUAUGGCUACUCCAAUGAGUAAUAGGAAAAGAGAGUCCUAAUCUCAAUUGAUUUUUGUCUCCUAUUCAACCGAAGCCAAAAAAGUAGGAAGUCUCCUAAUUGGCCCGUUUCCUGUUUUUGCUAAACUAUCUUUUCCAAUUCAAAUCUAACAAUCAGCUAAUGGAAUAUUUGCGGUCCCACGUUGUACUUCCAAUUGGCAAUUGCAGUCUCGAGUCUGUCCCGCAUUUUCUGGACACGUUAAGGUCUGACUUGAAGUGCCUACGCCAAAUAGCAAUUGUAGUAGAGAAUAUGUAUCUUUUUACCACAUUUUAUUCCAACUCUCUGCAAUCAAUACAAAUUUCCAAAAGUGAGUAGAAUCCGCCAAUUAAUGCACAUUCGGUAAAAUAAUAGGAGGGAAUUAAUUAUAAAAUAGACGACAAAAGUGCGACUUAUCACACAACAUUUUGGCACAUAUGUUUUUGUCAUUUCAGGUGAAGAUGUAUGAAUUUUAAUCUUGGGAAGAAAAUGAUGUAUUAUGGAUAUAUUAGGGACAAAAUCCCUAUUUUAAAAUAAGGAACUUAAAAUGUAAAAAACCUCAUAUAUGAGAGACUAAAAAUGUGAUGAGAAGGUCUUGGUAUAGUGACUAAAAUUUAGUGUUCAUGACUUAAAAGGUGUUAGUUUCAAAUCUUCUUUCUCUUUCCCUACCUCUUAAAUUCUACCCAUCUAUAAAAUUUUUUUUUUUUUGAAGAAAAAAGACCAAAUUACAUCGCUCAAAGCUGGUAUGAAGCUUAAAUGUGAGGCCCUAUUUUAACAAUUUUCCUUUUGAAGCUACAAGAUUCAAAAUUUUAAAGUUGAUGGAAAUAAUAGUUGCUUGUAACCCAAGGAUUAAAACACAGUUCAUAUUUAGGCGUAAGCAUAUGGAAAUGUUAUUUAACAUGUAUGCAAGGCUGCAAGCUUACUUAGUACAUCACCCAUCCCACAAAGAGAGAGAUUAAGAAAAAUUGUGCAAAGGAACUUCCAAUUUCCAAGGCCAAGCCAACUUACCUAGAGAGUUACAUUUUUACUAGUACAUUUUUUCUACUUUGAACUCUUAGAACACAUGGUAAAUCUCCUAUAAAGUUCAUACGUUAUCACUGAUCUACUAAAUUGUCUAUGGUGUAACAUACAAAAUUUUAAACCUUUUCUGACAAAAUAACUAUAGGCCCACCAUUUGUAUUGUGCCCCCUUAGGACAAGAACAGAAGUUAGAAGAACCCUUUUUACCAAGCCAAUUAAGAUUGGCAAUACUAAUCAGAGUUUAAAAUCAGAACAACCAGCAGUGGAAGUUUUUGAUGAAUAGUGAUACCAUUGACUUCACACAUGUCCAAUUCCUCACGUUUAGCUCCAUCAGGCAAUUCAAAAUCGAACUUGUGCACUAAUUUUGCUAAUGCAGGCUCAUUGAUAGCCAAAGCAAAAACUGAUAACUGGGCAACCCCUUCUGCCAGCACCAAAUGGAAUCAAUUUGAAGUUAAAACCUCGAAAAUGACAUCACUAUUCAAGAAUCUCUUUGGCUGAAUCCCUCAGGAUUAUCCCAAAACGUUUGAAUCUCUUCCAAUUGCCAAGCAUUCACGAGUACUUGUGUGCCUGCUGAACUAUCAUACCCCAUUACUUUGGCAUCUUGAGUUGAUUCUCUGGCAAGUAGUAACGGAACAGGUGCAUGAAGUCUUAGAACGUCCUUUAUCACUGCUUUUAGGCAUUGCAUUUUGUCUAAAUCAUCUUCAGUGAUUUCUGAUUUUACAUUUGCUUUCUGUCUUACCUCAUUCUGCAACUGCAUCAAGAUUUUGGGAUGCCUCGGGAGUUCAGCCAUUGCCCACUCCAUAAUUGUAUGUGUUGUGUCAGUUCCACCUUCAAACAUGUCCUAAUCAAGGAGACAUAAGUGAUUUAAGUCACAAAAUUCAGAAUAUUAAUGGCCUUAUUACAGAUCAUCUCUUUAAUUAGAGUUAUAUUAUGCUGAUUUAUCAUAACAAGCAUAUGAAAAAAAUUGAAAUUAUCAUACCAAACCAUCAGCUAAUCUAAUGCUUAAUUAAUUAGCAAUGUGUUCUUUUCAAUCAACAAUUCCUAGGUUGAAAGAAAAAUAUUACUCUUUUGAAAGUAAAUCCAAGAAAAAAUUGGACACUGAGAGGCAACCAUGGAGAUCAAGGGCUUCUGCAAUUGCCACUGGUUAUUAAACGGUCCAGUUUGUAAUCUAGAUUGGUCACAUCAAUUCAGUCUGAUCUGUGCAAUUUAUUUCAAAUUCGAAAUCAAGUUGACCCUGUCCAGGCCAUAAACUGUUCUGCCAAUUGCACAGAAACCAAGUCCUGGCCAGAGAGUCUUACCAAAAUGACAGCUUUGAUAGAAUCAUGCUCAAUGGCAAACAACUUUUCCCUCUGUAUCUGAAGCAAAAUGUCCAGAGAGUGUGAGCAGGUUGUCUCAGUAGUAUUAGCAACAGCCUUGUUCCUGUGCUCUUCAAUUACUCCCUCUAUGAAUUGAUCAAUCUGAUUAACCACUCUUUUCACUCUAGCAUCCAAACCAUUGAAACGAUUUAGCCAUGCAAGCCAAGGAACAUAGUCCCUUGUAUACCCCUAAUAUCUGAAUGAAUUCUGCUAAAGUAUCCUUAGCUUUCCUCCCAUGUUCUCCAUCACCAUACUUCCUCCCCAGGGCAACCCUACAAACUACAUCAUUCGUAAGAGUUGCGAAUAAGUCACUCAAGUUUAUCAGGCAAUUUGAUGAAGAAGAUAAGCAUUCUUACUUGAUCUUUCCAAUCACAAGUGAAGUCUCUUCUUCUCGAACACGUCGAAAUGAUUGAACCAUUUUGUUACUUAAAAGUUGAUGCACAAGAAUGCUUCUAAGUUGCCUCCAAUACUCUCCAUAAGGAGAAAAUGCUACAUCCUUGGAGCCAUAGAAGAGUCUACGAGCUAUACUUAAUCUUUGCCUGUUUGAAAAAACUUGGUCAUGGUUUUUCAUGCUUUCUGAAGCUGCACUGGCUGAAGAGGCCACAAGGAUUGGCUUGUUGCCAAAAUGAAGCAGCAUCACUGGACCAUAUUUCUUUGAUAGAGAUUGCAUGGAUCGGUGAGGAAGCAAGCCAAGUUGAUGAAGAUUUCCAACAACAGGGAGCAUUGAUGGAGAUGGUGGCAGAUUCUUUUGGGGUUUUGAUGAAGAAGUGAACCAUUUUAUUAGGGAGAUAAAGAAUAGAACAAAAGGAAUAAGAGAGAUAAUGGAUACUAUAUUGUACUAUUCUUGAAUGGAAAAACAUAACUAAGUUUUGGAAUUGAAUUCUGUCAUGCUCUCAAUUUAUAGAAUUGCUAGCUCCUUGAACUUUAGUUCAUAGAGAAUAUUCUUGGUGCUAAACGAUAUGAAUUGGCUUUCCCUGGUACCUUUUUGUGUUUUCUUGAAUCAUACUCGAAAUGUUCAACCAGAAUUAAAAAAAAAAAAACUAAUGUUUUUAUAUCAGCUCUGAUAAUUAGUGAUCCAUUUCAUGCAUGUAGCAAAAGAUCACUUGCAAUUUUUCCCUUAAUUUGAUGAAAUUUUCAUAUUAGUGUUGUCAAGUCCGGUUCCUAUGUUCUAAUUCAUCGAUAAACUGAUAAAGUUGAUGGAAUUCAGUGCACAAAAUCAAUGUGCAGAUUAGCUUGGUCCAUGAAUCUAUGCCUUUGGUGCCCAUCAAGAAAGUUAUUCAUAGCAUUUGCUCUACCCUGUUAAUAUGGUCCAUAAACUAGUCAGAAGAAAGGACAUGUGAUUUGAUCAUAUUAAUCACCCCACCUAAUUGUUAUAUAAUCUAUGGGCCAUUAAGAAUUAACUCACCCAAAGAAAAUCACUACAACCAACAUUUUUCCAUCCACUAGGCAUAAUAGGCAAUAGAAAACCUAUAGACACAUUCCAAUUUGUUUCUUCCCAAUUUUUAAUGAGUUUUUUUUUUUUGAAUUAUUAAAAGAUACUGCAAUAGGAGCAUUAUUAAUUUCAUUCCAUGAAAGGCAUACCUAUAUGGUUUUUAUUCCAUUAUGUCAAUUUUUUCUAAAGGAAAAUUUUCUUAGAUAAAGCAAUAUUGCUAAAAUAAAACAUUAAACUUAGGAUUGCUUAAACAAUCCCAAAAACCAUUGACACUCUAAUUUGAUGAUAUAUAUCGUAGUCAGUGAACCUUUUAUUAAAGCUAUUUUGGCCAUGAAUCUAAAUUCUUGAGUUCUAGAAUUCCCUCUUUAACAAUAGCAUAGAUACAUAGAUUUGCUAUCCGUUCCUUACUCUGAGAGAUACAUUAAUUCUAAGAGGAGGAGGGGAGGAUUUAAACUUAAAGAGUUCUAAUUCUUAAAAUCCCAACCUUAAUUAUUAGACUAAUAAUUUUGCUUCUAUUUCUUUCAAAUGAACAAAAAAUAAUCCCUACUUCAAUUACUAAUAAUAACUGGGUUUACCAUUAUCCGCAACUUCAAAAGUUGGGGACAAUGGUGAUUCUACAAAUAUAUAACUACUUGAACAAUGGGGACGAUGGUUAGAUUGGUAAUAAGAUAAGAGGAGUUGUAAGUAGAAGUUCUUGAAUUCAAAACUUUCCGCUUAUCCAAACAAAAAAAAAUCACUCGAACAAUGCAUGUGUCAAAUUUAACUAAGAAGCACGUGCACUAAUAUUAUUGGAUCAGCUCAAUUUUCUAUCGGCUUUAGUCUAUGAAACCCAUAAAAGCCCAUUUGUAAAAGUACUCAGUAACUCCUAUAGUAACUCAGUAAUAGGCUUACUUAGUAAAAACCUCACAAACUCUCCACUAUAGACAGCCAAAUUAUAAUGUCAGUUAAUUCAUUCCAUAUUCUCCUUGUACAAUUUAUCACAUUUAUUUUUGGGUAAAUUAUAAAUAACCUCCUUGUAGUUUUAGUUAUUGUCACAUGAUAUCCCUAAUAUUUCAAAAUAUUCACUUUACCCCCUAUAAUUUUAUAUAAAGUGGAAACUUAACAAAAAAUACCCUAUGUAACAUCGUUACCAAUUGUACUCUAACUUAAAUGAUAGAUCAAAUGAUGGCUUAACCGCCUUGUAUAAAACCAUAGGGGGAUUAUGUGAAAAAAAUAUAAAAACUAUAGGAGAUAAAGUGGAUAUUUAUACAAACUAUACGAGAGUUAAGUGAAUAUUGCGAUUUCAUCACACGUACUUUUGGAAUGUGUCUAGUAUAAUCGUUGUCACUGAUUGUGCAUCCCAUGUAUUUUUCAUUGUACAUAAAAUCAUAGGGAGGUUCUCUUGUAAUCAUCGAGGUCCUCUUGUAAUAUUAUAUUGCAUAAUUUUAAAGUAGCUAGCCUAUAGUGCCUAACAAAAUUCAUUGUGCUCUCUCUUAUCUUUUUCGCCAAAUUAGAUUUUGGCAAAUGAAAAAAAAAAUCAUUUUUAGUUCUUAAAAUUUGGGAUUGGACUAAAGUAGUUAUCAAUGUUUUAACCACAACAAAAAUAGUCCCUAAAGUAUUUAAAUUUGAUCGGAUUAGUUCCUAAUGUUUUGAACUAAAAAAAUGUAGUUCCCAAAGUAUAUUAAUUGACCAAAUUAGUCCCUAACAUUUUAUAAAAUCUAAAAAAAUUAUUUAUGUAAUACAAGAUAAAAAUUAUAGAAAUUAAUAAAAACUCAUGAGAAUUCUACAAAGACUAUGAAAGAAUUACAAAAACAAAUCAUAAAAGCUCUCAAAAAUAUAUAAAAAAAGCUUAAAGUAAUCUAAAAAUCCAAUUUAAUACCCGAAUUAAGCAUGUGAUUAUGCAUGUGCUCUGUUUAUUUAUUUUAUGUACUUUCUUCAAUAAAAUAAAUAUAGUAUUAUAAUUUGUACAUGCACUUUUGUAUACGUUUGUGUACAAAUAUAAACUGUCAUAUCUAUCAAGUGUCUUCAUUUCGUCAAAAAUCCCUACCUUAAACUUAGUUUAUAUUUUUCAAAGUUUUUAAGAUUUUGUGAUUUUUCUAGAAUUUCUCCACAACUUUUAUGGCAUUUUUAUUUUUUGUAUUUUGUUAUAUUUUUAUAGAUAUACAAGCAUUAGGAACCAAUUUGGUCAUUAUAUCUUAGAGCCUGUGUUUGUUUAGACGAUAUAUUAGAGAUUAAUUUGGUCAACAAUGAAUACUAUACAAAUUUUUUUUUUUGGCUGGGAAAAUGAGGACUGAUUUAGUUAACUCCUAAACGUUGAGGACCAAAUGUGCAUUUUUCCCUUCGACAGAUUUUAGUGAUUGUGUAUUGGUGUUCAUAACUAAAAACAUUAGAUAUCAGUUUUGUUUUUGUGGUAAACUUGUAAGACCAAUUUGGUCACAAUUAGAAGUAUUAAAAAUUAGAUUUAUAUGGGAGGGGAUGGGGCUGGAUGGUAAGAUGGAAUGGAUUGCAGGUAGGAGGUCAUGAGUUCAAAGUUUUCACUUAUUGAGAGAGAGAGAGAGAUUAGAUUUAUACAGCUAGAACUUUGGGAACCAAAACGACAAUAUAGCUAAGUUUGGUAGUUGGAGAUUUGGAAAGGAAAGAAAAGAGAGUGAGAGAAAGUGAGUUUUAAGUACAUUGAAGUUUCCUUAAUAUAGAAAAGAAGAAAAAAAAGUUAAGCGAUUUGUCUAUAGUUUUUUUUUUUAUAUAAGAAAAAAGUUUGAGUGGAUUCAGUUUUGGUCAUUAUCACAGGUCAGGGCAUGCCCUUGGACUGAUCACUUACAGGAGUUCUUACAAAUCACUUACUAAUACAUUUCUCAUAUUGGUAGUGAAAUUCGAAUACACAACUUUUUAUGAGAGAGUGAUCUGCUCGUAUAAACUGAAUCAACUUGUGUUGAUGAUUUGUUUAUAGUGCUACCACAAUUUAUAAAAGUUUCUCGUUCGACCUAGGGAACAAAAUAAUAGUCUUGCUGGGAGCUUGCUAAAUAUUUAUAAAAUACCCAUUUUGUCCAUAAAAGUUUGAUUAACAAAAUUUUGUGGACUUGUAUUUAGAAAUUAUUUCAUUUCUUCUAAACUCCCAAAUAAAAUUAGAAUUUCUUUUCUUCUUACUCUCAUUUCUUUUCUUUUAAAAAUUAUUUCAUUUCUUUUCUCAACGUCCAAAUAAAAUUAGAAUUUCUUUUCUUCUUUUCUCUCAUAUCUUAAGAUUUCUCUUUUCAUUUAACAAUUAUUUGAGAAGGUGUGAUGAAGGUACACAACGUGGUAGUACCCUGUGAUACAUUACCAAAACAUAUUCUUCAAAUAAGUAAAAAGGCUCAGAACACCUUGCCCUCCUGAAUUUAGUGGGUAGCCACACUUUACCCCCUUCAACCUUAAAUAUAUAUACUUUACUUGCAUCAAGAUUAGUCAAAGUAAGAAAUAUAAUAAAAAAAAAAGUGAGUGCAAUGAUAUUAUUGCACUUUUAUUUAUGAAAUUAUCGAUAACUUAAUAUUAUUUGCUUUCAUUGUUAAAAAAUAUACAUCUUCUCUAUCGUAUCAACUAUAUAACAAUCUCUGAAAAAAGCUUUAAAAAAAGUUUAUAUUUAGUUCAUAUCCUUAAAACUUUUCCUGUCCGAUUAAUAUUCGCUUUUGUUAUAUGUUUUGUUCAUUUAUUAGACUUUAAGUCAAAUAAAAAGAAUAAAAUAACACAAUACUAAAAUAAACAUAAUUACUAUUUUUUUAAAAAGGGGCAACACUAAACUUGUUUUUAGCUUAAAAAGUAGUUUUUUAUUAUUUUAGUUUCCAUGAACUUUUAGACUAAUACUAUUUUCAUUUUUUAUUGAUAUAUUUAUAGUUUACUAUUAUUGCCUUUUCUUUUAUUAAAAUAAAAUUUGAUUUAAUCUCUAUUUUUCUUCUCUUAGUUUAGAAAUAAGGCAUAUUAGCCAUUUUUAGCAAAUUUAAUUAAGAAUUUAAUAUUGGACUAAUUUAAUAAAUAAAAAUGACAAUAAUAUUAACCUAAAAAUUUUAAAUAAAUUAAAAUAAUAAAAAAACUACUUUAAAAAAUGAGUUUAGUAUUACCUUUUUUUUGAAAGUUUGGCAAUUAUAUUUAUUUUUAGUAUUAUGUUAUUUAUCUAUUUUGUUUGAAUUAAAGUCUAAUAAAUUGAAUAAAUCAUAUAUAAUAGUGAACAUUAAUCUAACGAAAAAAUGUUCAUGGAUAUAAACUAAAUAUUAGUUGUCUUUAACUUUUUGUAGUUUGAUAUUUUCGUAUAGUUGAUAUGAUAGAGAAGUUGUAAAUCUUUAAGUAAUGAAAGGAAAUGGUACUAAGUUAUAGAUAAGUUCAUGAAAUAAAAGAAUAAUAAUAUGUCAUUGCACUCAUCUUUUUUAUAUUUUUAACUUUGACUAGUGGAUAAAAUGUAUAUAUUUAAGAUUAACGUGGGUAAAAUGUGACUAUCCCCUUAGUUCAGGAGGGCAAAGUGUAAAUUGAAUUCUGGUAAGUAUUAGAUUUAGAAAACUCAUACUGUUUUGUUGAAUUGGUAGGACGUGACUGGCAAUGUUUCGUCAUAGCUCAAUACAAUGUGUUGCGGUGCAUUCAAAAUCAGACUCCACUGGCCAGUUUUCUCGAAAUCCGAUCAAGAAUCGAUUGAAUCAGUAAAAGUCGGACCAUUGAACCGAUUUCUAUCAUUUUUUUUAAUUUUUUUUUUCCUUAGUAUCAAAUGCUAUCCAAAUUAUUUAACAUCAAAAUCAAAAAUAAAAAAAAUUAAAUCUUAGGUACUGUCAAGAAUCAAUUGAACCAGUAAUAGUCAAACCAUUGAACCGAUUUCUAUUAUUUUUUUCCUCUUUUCUUUAAAUAUCAAAUUCUAUCCAAAUUAUCUAACAUCAAAAUGAAAAGCCAAAAUGAAUAAAUCUUUGGUCCAAACGGUCGAACCGGUUAAACUACGAGCACCUCUGGUUCACUAACCUGGCCGGAUUUAAAAACAUAACCACGUGCGGUGCGGUACCUUGUAAGUCUAACGUGGAAGGGAAGGUCAAUCCAAGCACGUAUUGUCAACCGGUACGCCUGAUUAUAUUAUAUUAAUAAAAAAGAAUAGAUGACCGAAAAGUACCCAAGAUUGGAAGACAGCAAAAAAUGAACAAAAUGUCCAACACCUUAGCAGUUUAGCAGCGGCAGAAGCAGCAUCUUUUGGUAUCUGCAUUUGCAGGAAGUCAGAAUAAAGUGCAAACGAAAAGCCCAGAAAAAGGCCUGACCAACCAACAAGGCAGUCUUAGAUUCUUGGUAUUAUUAUCUAUCUCAUCAUCUACUUCAAAAGGUCCUUUUAUUACAGUUUGCUUCUCUCUCUCUCUCUGAUUUUCUGUUUAUCUCUUCAUUCAUAGCAAGUACAAGUAGAAUGAUAGUUCAUGUGUGCAAGGAUACUUUGUGUUUCUUGAUAAAUGUUUUUUCUUUGAGAAAUGGAUUUUUUUUGUGGGGAUUCUUUGAAUUGUUGGAUAAACUUAACUUAGAUUACCUAGUCUCUGAAUAUAAAGAACAGAAAAUUGUUAGUCAUGUUGAUAAGUUAAAAGUGGAGAAAUUUGCAAUUCUCAGCUGGAAUUCGUAUAGAAUCAUAAUAGACAGUCAAGUACAUACUCUCAGGAUUGUCAGCUCUGGACAUACUUGUUGGGAGAGUAUUAGGAGGCGAACAGCAAGGCGGUGGUGGAGGCCUUGAGUUGAAGAUCUUUAAAUUUUGUGUGUCCAUUGCAGGUUUGACAUGUUUGUUGGGUUAAACAGUAUUGUAACAAGGCUGCAUCAUGGGUUUUGCCCUGCUUGCUAUAUCAAUGAAUGAUAAGCGAGUCCGGCAGUAGUCCUCCUCAUGUUUGGUCAGUCUUGAUGGCUGAUAUUUUAGGUAACUGGUAACAUCUCUCCUUUUCUAUUGAAAACAAGAAAAGCAUUAUGCUUCUUCAUCAAAUAAAUAGGUUGAAUUAAAUGGAGAGAGGAGAGAGAUAAUCAAAAGAAGAAACAAUAUUGGCUGGAGCCUGGAAUUUAUAUAUGUAAGUAUGUAUGUAUAUAUGUUUGUAGCGGAAAUUCACAACAUAAAUAAUAUGCAAAAUGGGGACGAUGGAGGAUUGUAUCUACUAAUACUCUAUUUAGUUUGUUGUGUGGACAGCUUCAUGGAAAUGGUGGAAAAGUGCAAGCAGAGUCCAACCUUAUGGAAGAGAGAAAAAGUUGAAACUCUAGGUUUGAGGUUUGGAGGAACAUGCAAACUGCCAAAAUGUGAUUAGUCUCCUGAAUCUUUAGCUUUUCAGCUGGUCUUGAUGCAAAUGUUGUUGAUCUCAUUGGAAAAAAGCAAUGCUGGAAGGAUUGAUUAUAGGUCCAGGAACUAGCAGAUGUUGGAAGACUUGUACUUUGUCUACAUAGAUUGGAAUUGGUGUAAUUAAGAGGAUGGGUUGGUUUGAAAGGGGCAUAAAACAAACGAAUUCUUGGACAAUUUAUUCCCAUAAUGCAAGAUAUGGAAAAAUUCUGCCUCCCAAAUAGAUGGCAUCCUUUUCUUGGAACCUUUGUUGAAGAUUUGUAUGGAUAUUGGUGCUUAUGGGAACAUGAUAGAUUGGCCUCAAGCAAUCUUUAGUUACAUUGUCGUACAGCACAAUCUGGCCUGGUUCUGCUUACCGGAGUGGUUGGCUUUAUUCUGGCUAAUUAUAGGACUUCUUGUCUGACUUGAAGUGUGUGAUAUUGGAAUAAGAAGGGGUUUGAUGCUUUAGGCGCUGCCCUUCAGUGCUUGAUAUGGAUUUUAUGCUUUAAACGAUUGGAAGGGCUUAUGAGGGGAGAGGAAUUAAUGAUCAGUUGAACACAAUUUUUGUGACACUUGAUGUUCUCAACAGAUAUCAUUAGUCUCAUAUAUAAUCUUUUGUCAAACUCUUGGAUUCUGUUGUGUAAAGGCAGAUCAGUUUGUAGCUUUGCAUGCAUUGCUCCAGUGAUAAUUUAAGCAUUUGCAAUUAGGAAAAUUAAUAGAAUGAACAAGAUGGAUUUGCAUGUUUAGACUGAGUUGGAACUUUCACAUGAUUUUUAUGCUUCAAAGGGAAAAAGUGUUAGAAGUUGGAUUUUUUUUUCUUUGUUAAUCUCCAUAAUGUGUGCUUUAUCUUUGGCUUAGUCCUAAUUGUUGCAUUUAUCCUUUUCAGUUACUGUUAACCAGUUCUUUGCAAAAAUGUGACUAAGAAAUUAAGUAUAGGAAGCAAUUACUGACUAGAAAAUUUUCAAUAGGAACUAUUCUCUGAGGGAAUGCUGUACAGAUCAUGAGGUUGUUACAGUUUAUCAUACAAGAGUGUCUAAUCUAAAUGAUGUAUACAGUCUUUCUCACUUCUCUUCACCAUACUAUGAACUUCUGCUCUUAAAUUUGGGAGCUAUUAAAGUGUUUUUGGUGCAUAGUUAUGUUAAUUGUUGGUUUCUGAGUAUUUUGAUCCUAAUUUCGGCUCUUUUUUUUUUUUUUUUCUUUUCUGUGUGAAGCCUGACCUCAUCGCUAGACUUGCUAGUGUAGUAUGCAAAAAUACUUUUUUGCUAUAGUGGCCUACUGCCUACUGCUAAAAGAAGAUUUCUUCACAAUAUUCUUGAUGCUUAUAAUGGGUUAGAAUCAUGAUUUGACCUUACAUCCAGAAGUGAAAAUGGUGAAAUGAGCAUGUAUUUUCCAAUGUGUUAUGCAGCAGUAGUGGAAAAGGGAAUACUCUCUUUGGUUCUUAAGGAACCAUCCUGAUUCAUUUAAGUUAGUCCUUUGCUAAAGUAAUUAUUCAGCUAUGAACAUGUAGGGCAUUAACAGCUGCAUGAUGGCUGACAAAAGUAUUUUUUCAUUAGUCUUACAUGCCGAAGAGGUAGUUCAAAAUUACAAGUCACCACAAACAGAUUGGUUGGAGAAAUAAAUCUUUCAUGCAAGGAAAGUUAGGAACCAGUCAAUUAUAGGACCAAAAUCUUGAUGUGCCUUGUUUUCUAGACCUCCAGUCCACAAGAACCCUAGAUCCCGUGGGAGGGAGGAUGGCUCUCAUGUUUCAGAAGUGGGAUGCUGCGGGAUACAUUUCAUAUGGUGAUGCACAGGGCCUUGGGUAAUGAGGUAAUAUGUGUGCUCUGGCUGGUCCAGGAGGCAAUAGUUGAUGAAAGUGCUUAUGCUUUGGACAGACCACGAGGCAAUUGAUGGCAACUAGUAGGUCGUGGUCGGUGGCUGGAAGAUCCAGAUGCCUGUGUUCUGCUAUUGUAAGAUUUAGGUUGCCCAGGCAUGUAUUGCCAUUGUUGUGGGGUUUGUUAGAUCAUUGUGUUCCAGCAGUGGGAGCACAGGUAGACCAUAUAAGCAUGACAUGAUCUCAUGGAGUGCAUGAUGUAUGAUGCAUCACUCAUAAUAGAAGUCAUGCUAUGAAUAGGAUGAUUAAAUGUGCAUGCUAACGUGUAUGAUAUGCAUUAUGGCAUGAGCCUAUUAUAAAUGGUGUUCACACUAAUGAUUACUGUCCCCCGGUCAAGAAUCCACAUAGAUUGAGACCUACAAAAUCUUUGAUCAUUGCUCCUGUUGCUUCUGAACACCUAGAGGGGCACACUGCACCAUCCAAGUGACCAUUUUCUAGUGAUAUGUAGGACACAUAUUUGAGAAAAUUGUAUCCCUAAUUUGCCACACACGUACAGAACAGUCAGUGUUAUUUGCUUGAAGAGUUCUUAUAUGAGAUGAAGAUUGACACAAUAGUACGACUGUGGAAUAAGGAUUUGGCCAGUACAGUAAUGAGCAACCCAGUCUACCAACUUGAAGAAUCUGUGGUGUCCAGUUCAUCAGUGCUGCCAUAUUCUUGAAGCCUUUAUCUUCUUUUCUCGUUUAUACUCUUUUAAAGCAUUGUCAAAACUGAGACUGUUUAAUGCUGUUAUGCAGUAAAAAUUUUGUUGAUGGGAAAUACAGAAUCAACUUCUGGUGACACAUCUCGAGACUUUCCACAUGAAGCCUCCGGAUAUGCUGGAAAUCCAGUUGAUCCUAGUUAUCAACACCAACAUCCAAUCUAUGCUGGAAAUCCAGUGGACACUAAAUAUCAGCAGCAGCCACCAGCAUCUGCAACAAGUUCAUUGAACAGUAACAACCAGAGGAAGCAUCGACCAACCUAUAUAGCUGAUAACUUCAAUUCACUAGAAGAGGUAUUUAAUUCUUGUAGGUAAUCAUACCUUAACCAUAGUUUUUUUCUCAUUAUGUGUUCCUUCAGUGAUAUGACCUACUACAAUUUUCAUUUGCUCAAUGUUGGAUAUUUACUUCAUGACUUUUCAGUUGUUUGUGAAUUGGAAAAUGAAAUUGUAAUAGAGCUUCUAUAUCAAACCUGAGACAAAGUGAAUGUUUUUGUUCCCAGGUGGUUACUGCAUUAAGAGAAGAAGGCCUCGAAUCAUCAAAUUUAAUUCUGGGAAUUGAUUUUACACAGAGUAAUGAGUGGACAGGUACUUUGAUGCAAAAUCUGUUCUGUAACUUCCACCUUAGAUUAGUAGAAAGGCAUAUGACAAUUUGUUGUUUCUAGGAAAGUAUUCAUUCAACAGGAGAAGCCUUCAUGCAAUGGGCACUACACCUAAUCCAUAUCAGCAAGCUAUCUCCAUCAUUGGGCGGACAUUAUCACCUUUUGAUGAAGAUAAUUUGAUACCUUGUAUCGGAUUUGGGGAUGGUUAGUUUUCAGUAAUUUUGCUUGUUAACUUGAUAUCAGAAUCGUCUUUUUUGGGCGGAAAUGUCAUACUGGUUCUUUUAUUUCGUAGCAUCCACACAUGAUCAGCAUGUGUUCAGCUUUUACCCUGACCAUCGACCUUGCCACGGAUUUGAAGAAGCUCUUGCAAGAUAUAAAGAGAUUGUGCCUCACCUAAAGUUAUCAGGUUUGAUGACUAGAGUGCAUCAUUUUGCACAAUGUUUAUGCACAUUGUUGAAAAAUGCAUUUGAUGAUAAUAUGAUUACUAUAAUCCUGGAUGCUUUUAUUCAACAGCAUUUUAUGAUUAUGAUCAUGCAUGAAUGAAGAACGAAUAGGACUGAAAUCAUUAACUAUGGUACAAAUAUGUUUUCCAAACCUUAUUGUGGAAUCAAUUAAAUCAACUCCCUCCUGAAAUUAAACUAGUAGGAACAUGAUUCCUAUUAAACCAGCAAUUCUACAAGGCCCUAGUAAUAUCUAAGUUUGAUAUUUUUUAAUGCAUGAAGGAAAAGCAUGACAUUUGAAUCCUCAGAAGGAAGCCAUGAUGCGAUAAAAGGUAUUAGUAUUACAUUUGAUGUCCUAAUUGAUUGGGGGUCCCACCUAGAAAGAUUUCUUAAUCCCAUCCCAUAUAUCCCCCUUCACCACCCCCACUUUAAGAAAAAGAAAAAUGGAAAAUCAGAACAGAAAAUAAGGGAAAAGUUACUGUGCAACCUAUUUUACUAGAAUUUCUCAGACCCUAGUGGAUUUGGAAUCAGAUUGCAUGAUUUAAAACAUGGUUCAUUGGCAAUUAGGAAUGCUUAUUUUGGUGUUCUGAAGUUCAAAACUUAUGCAUGUAGAAUAUAUUUUUGUUUGUUGCUGCACCCAAUGAUUGCAUCUAAACCAUGGCAGUGAAAAAACUCCUACAUAUUGAAUCGUUUCUCCAGAAUGAUGUACAAAAAUACUCCUUUUUGUUGAAAAGUUUUAAUGAAACUUUCCUGUACGCUGAACUUUCUUCCCUCUAAAUAUCCUAAUGAAGCCUAGCCCUAACAUUUGCCAUUUCUAAGUUUCCUAAAGAAACCUAGCCCUAGUGUUUUGCAUUUUGUGUAACUAGCAUUCUAUGGUCCCUAUGUCAUUCUGUGGUCCAGAACAAUCCAAUCUAGGUUGACUACUGCAGAAACCAACUGAUCCAUUUGAUUUAACAGGACCUUUAUACAUAUUUGAACAAUAUUUUCCUAAGGCUAUUUUCAGAAUCAUCAUGUUCUCUUUUCGGUAUAAAGUGAAUCGCGUCAUUCCCACAAUCUAAGAGGAUUAUAGUAGUGUGUUAAGUGCACCUUGCAGAAAAAGAUUGUGCUACUUCAUUCAUUUGGUCUUUACCUUUUCUUUCAACUUUUCUGUUUUCCAUCUUUUGCCUUUUAUGGGAAAAAUGUUUGAAUGCCAUUGCAAUAAUCAUUAAAGACAAAUAACUAAUGCACAUCUUUCACUACAUAUCUCUGGUACCUUCCUCUUUCUAUGUAAGGUUAUCAGUUUUCUGCUGUGAGUUAUUAAUAGUGCACUUAAACUGCAAAAAUGUUGCAGAAUAAUUAUCUACCACAAAAUGAGGCUUGUAAACCAAUGAAUUGGAAACCGAGUUUCUAACAUCUCUCUAUCUGCAUGUCUGAUAUAGUUAACUUUUGAUUCUUUUCCUAGCCUUACUGAUGCAUGCAAAUUAUAGGUCCAACAUCCUUUGCACCAAUAAUUGAUUCUGCAGUUGAUAUUGUAGAGAGAAGCAAUGGGCAAUAUCAUGUCCUUGUAAUUAUUGCUGAUGGACAGGUUCAAUUGUUGUACUUUGAUGAACUUUAUAAGCUUUUAUUGACUCUCCUGCGUGACCUUUUCUUGUCCUUUAUUGUUUGCAUAUAUUAUUAGGUUACUAGGAGUUCCAAUACACCACAUGGAAGGUUUAGUCGACAAGAGCAGGCAACUAUUAAUUCUAUAGUUGCUGCAAGGUAAUACCGUGGACUUGGAAAUCCCCUAUUUGUUCUUUGGAGUUCACUAAUUUAAUACUUAAUGCAAAGUGAAUAUUCUCUUUCAAUUGUUCUUGUUGGUGUUGGGGAUGGACCCUGGGAAGAAAUGCUACAAUUUGAUGACAACAUUCUCCAAAUAUUUUGAAUUUACUAACAUAAUAUGAAUGCACAGUGAAUAUCCUCUUUCAAUCAUUCUUGUUGGUGUCGGGGAUGGACCUUGGGAUGAAAUGCAACAAUUUGAUGACAACAUUCCUCAACGUGCUUUUGACAAUUUUCAGGUACUUGCUAACAAAAUCAAAUUUAUUUUGUGCUUAACAUUAACAUACUCCAGGCAACUGUAUACUUGAUAGUCCACAUUGUAGAUUUUUGCAUGAUUAACUUAUCUACAGUUGCAGUUGACUCAAAGCCUUCCUGAAUUAUAAAUCCCUCUAACCAACAUGUUAUGGAAUCUUAUUGAGUUUAAAACUUUAAGGCCGUAUAUACCAGUCUUCCACAGUGGAAACAUCUUUCAAGAUUUUUUUUUUUUUUGUUUGUGGUGGGGGGGCCCGGGGAAGAGAAACCAAACUGGGGAAAAACUGAGACGAAAAACAGCUCCUCUGCAGGAACUAAAAAACAUCAGGUUAACAAUUAUGCAUUAUCCUCCAACAACUAGAAGCCAGUUGUCUAAAUAGAACUAUACAUCUAAGGCUUACUGAAGAAUGGCAUACAUAUCAAGUAGUUGAGAAUUUAAAGUUGAAGGCAAAGUAAUGUUCUGCAAAAUUGCGCAUUAAACAUUUAUGGAUGACUGAAUGAAACAUGCCAGGCAGGAGGAUUUAAAAACAAAGGACCAACUCUUCAAGUUUAAAGUUGCAAGAAAGUAAAGAUUAACUUGUGUUCUUCAAUUUAAAUCUGAAGUAUGGUCCAAGGACCCUCUAACAAGUACAUGCUGAGUGAAAAUGGGCCAAUUGAAAAAUACUUACCUUCCGCAUCCGCUCUGCAAGUUCAACAUGUGCUGCCUUGACUUCAUAAUCAUCUCCAGUUUUUGUGAGACCCUAUUAAAUUGAGAGGAGGUGAUCCAGAGAUGAAAACCAAAAGUUCAUUAAAUUUCCUAAUUGGUCAAGAUAACAGACAGCUUCACAUUUAGUAAGUAAAAGAACUACUAAGAUUAUGUAAUCAAUUCCAAAUAAAAGCUGUUUUCUUACCUUAGUAAUCACCAAAAGAGACAAAUCCACACGAUUCAUAAGAAGAUCUGCAAUGGUAUUCUUGACAUAUUGCACGGCACCAGGAACAUCCCUGUCUAUUAGUAUUUUGUGAAGACAUUCAGUUACAAGGUUUUUGACCAAUAAACAGUUAUCUCUUCGAACUGUUUCAAUCCCUGAAAGAGAAAAUUGAAAUAUUUUAUCAGCUAUGUCGACUGUGAUAAUUUUCAAUAAGAAAAUUAUUCUGAGACUAAAAACAGGAAAAGAAAACUUGGUCACCUUUAGCAUCCAUUUUGUCAAACUUAUUGGGAUUUGUCCAAAGAAGGCCAGCGUAUCUCUUCUUGCUAAUUAAUAGAUAUGGAUAAUAUACCUUCUCAAACUCCAACUUUAUUGGCUAUAAAAUAAACACAGACACAGGAGAAAAUAAAUAAGAAAAAGGAAAACGAGAGGACAAAGGAGAGUCCAUAGAAGAUGGAAAACUGUCUAUUAGUUUUGCUACUAAAAUCUACCAAGGUUUGAGAAAAAAGAUAUAUAAAAUGGCAAAAGAAAAGGACUAGGAUAUUUGAAUGUUAUGGAAUUUAAGAAUCUCGAAAGUAUGUAUUUCACGCUAAAUUCAUGACUAAAAACAAAAAACUACAAAUUUUGAUUUUGAUGAUGUGUGUGAUUUUCACUCAAGUCUUACCUAGAGGUUUGAUUAUCAAGAACAUUGACUUUGCGCAAAAAAAAAUUAGUUUCUGAAUCCCACAACUAGCAGCCAGAUACAUCUCUAAAGGUAUAAGAAUGGUACUUGAAGAGCUCCAGAUGGGUUGCUAGAGCACUGGCUCAUUCUUAAGAAAGGUCCCUCAUAUGGAAUUGACGACCUCUUCUUCAACACCAGAGGCACACCCAACAUCAAAUGAAUAAGGGUUACCGAGUUUGUUUAAGAUGCACAUGUAACAUAUUCCUCAUUGCUAUCUUUCUACCAAGCUAAUAAGAUCAGAAAUUCCUAAUCAGAAUUGAUCUGAAAGUUUCCUCAGCAUAUGAAAAGGUAGAUAAUGAAAUAUGCUGUCAGAAGCAUAAAAUUAAUCUGCUUCUUGAUGCAUUUGAACAGUAUCACACUCGACAUCAACUUUCAGAAUUCUGGUCUGGUUGCCUUGCCAUUGUCUCUGCAAAGUGCUGUAACUUGAUGCCUAGGGAAAACUUUAAUUACUGUCCUAAGACAUAUAAGGUCCAUGAAAGGUUGCAGGUCCAUAGCCAAUUUGUUUAUGAAGUACAUGUUAGCAAACUUCCAUAUAAGGUGUCUUUAGAGAAAAUAAAUGCACUAAUUAACCACUCAGGCAAAAAGCCAUGGUUAAAUUAAGACCCAGAUUGAGAUCAUUCAAGUAAACAGAAAGGAAAGAAAACAAGUUUAUAUUAACAUAUAAAACAACAAGAACAUUGCAGACAUUACAUAAAUUUUGAAAAAAAUAGUCACUUGACAACAGAAAACCAUAUUGUACAUAAGAACCAAGUUAAAUAAUGAUCAAACAGAAUUUCUUAGAAAAUAGUCAAGAACCUAUUUAGGUUCUUAUAAUUCUUAGAAACUUGAACGUGGUAUUAAAAGAACCAAGGAUAGCUACUAGCGAUUGAGAAAGGAAGAGUUUCAUUACUUACUUUCGUGAAAGUUCCGCUAAUGUAGUCAGCAGCUUCUCUACCUAGGUUCAUAGCUUCUUCAACUGUAGGGACGCCAAAUUGCACCAUCACAGAAUCUGUAUCUCCAUAUAUUACCUGAUAACAAAGUGAUGUUCAAGUACAAACUACUACUGAUCUGGUACACCAAGGAAUGUACCUACCACAUUGUCUCACAAUUAGCUCGUGCAGCCCUGAAAUUGUGAACUAACACCUAAUCUUUUCAUUUUCUUGUCAAUGAAGAUGGCACAUCAUAAGACCAGGCAUAGUUCUACAAUUUAGACAAUUAAAUAAAAUAUCCAUCACACGUUACCUUCUGAAUUAAUACAGAAAUCAGUAACUACAAUUCCACUUUUUUUUUCUUGUCAAUGAAGAUAACACAUCAUAAGAGCAGGCAUAGAUCUAUAGUUUUGACAAUAAAAUAAUAUAUCCAUCCCAAGUUAUCUUCUGAACCGAUAGAGAAACCAGAAACUACUAUUCCACUUUCCAGCAUUACAAACUAACAGGCUUUUGUUAGUUCUCAUAGUCCUGUGAUACCUUUACAAGCCAUUCUCCACAUCAUAUGAUGUUAUCAAAAGGCCAAGGCUGAAAAGGAUUCAAUAAAAAACAUAAACUGUUUACCUCAGCAUUAUGUUCAUAGCCCCCAAGCACUGUGAAUUUAUCUUCCACCAGUUUCUUGGUGUGUUCAAUCAUCUGUCGACCUUCAACAUUAUGGCCAGUCAAAUGGAUCAGGUAAUUGUAAAACAAAAUCCGUGGUAAUACCGUUUCAAGAAGUAAGGGAGAUGAUAUUAGAAUCCCAAUCCCCAAAAACAAAUUGAAAAGUGGAAAUAGAAAAAAAGAGGUCAUCAGGACAUAUUACCAUAACUUGUGACACUCGAAGAUAUUUCUAGACAAGGUAGUUGACCCACUGUAGCUCCUGUAAACCCAUAUACAGAAUUUGCACUUAUCUGUAAAGUUCAGAAGACAUUGAACAACUUAGAUUGCUUCAGAAACAUUGUGAUAAGAGCAAAAUGACUUGUCAAGGGCAUAAUUACAAGUCUACAAAUCGCCGAUAAUUUCAAAGGUCUCAUUACCUUCAGAGCCAGUUGACGACCAUCUAAAACAGCUUUUACCAGAGGAUCCCUCGCUUCCUAAAAAAAACUGUAAAGUUAAUACUGCAUGCAUAAGAUUUUUCUGGAUAGUAAUGAAGGGAUACCCUCUCAAGAGAAGUGUAACUUAGAAAACCCUCUAAUGACCAAUGCUAAUACUUGUCAAAUUACCAACUGCAUUGGCUCUUGAAAAUCUGUAAGGUCUAACAAUUCAAGAAAGCCUGAAGUGGUUAAAAAAAACCUCUCAGAGUGAAUGACAUUUAUCAACUUAUCUUGUGGAGUUUCAAGACCUAAACAUAGUUUAGUCUUGAAAAGUUUUGUCAUCAAAUCCCAAAGCCAAAGGCCUUUAAACAUUGCAAGACAAAUAUAUAUAAUAGACUAACCAAUAUUAUGAUACAGAAACUGCAACAAAAUUCAGUGUGUGAGUAGCACCUUCAAGUCUGCUUUUGCCCUUUUACGAGCAGCCAACAGUUCUUCAAGAAUUUCUGGAAGUAUUCCCUGAAGCAACAUUUAACACAUUACUAAAAACUCACACACUGUAUACAAAUGCAUUAAAGCAUCAAUAGAAAGAUUAACCUUCUGUAAAUUUGUUUUGACAAAUGUGUCACCAGAUGGAGUUUUAGUGACCCAUUCUGGAGGAAGGUUAAGUCUACGCAUGUCUUCAGGAGUUACCUAUAAAUAAAAUUCCAGAUCAAUCAUACCUCCAUCUUGAUCCAAUCAUAAAACAAUCAAAAACACAUUUCAGUUCCAUCCUCCCCUCUCAGCAGGGAAAUAUGGGAACAAUAAUGUCUUACCAAUGUACAGUAACACAGAUUAUAAGCCAUCAUAAUUGAGGGAUACAGAGAUGCAAAAUCAAGUGUUGCAAUAGGCUUCUCAAAAAAUCCUGCACUGGCUUCCAAAACCUGUCAAAGGAAUGAUGUCAAAUAUAUAAAACCACCAUAAGAGGCUCCAAGUCAGAUGAAUAUGAAAGCUAUCAUAAUACAUACUUUUGAAACUCUAUGCCAAAAUUAUAUCCACCCAAAGAAGUCAAAACACCAUCACUAAAAAUUUGCAGAUUCAAUACAAGCAGCCCAAUUAAUUUCCUUCUAUAUUUGGGCAUCUCAAGACAGUGAAACAAUUGUCCAUGCUGUAAUGAAAAUACGACCUGUAAGUAUCUUUCUAACAUGCCCAUAUUCAUUGCAUUACAUCACAAAAUUGAGUUGCAAACUAAUUAAUGAAAAUAAGGGAUUUUAGAAGAAAAACAGGAACAUCAUGUUCUCCUGAUUCGGGGAACAAAUAUCUACCACUUUAGCAUGCAUUGGAAGGGAAUUAGCAGAAAUUGAAGAAAAGCAGCAACAGCAGCAGCGUUAUAAGCACAAAUGUGUUUUCCCUUUCACUAUUCAAGUUCAUCAAAGUUUCACCCAGAUAGCUUAAUUGCUGGAGCUACUAAUUGCUUCUGAUAUAACAUCAGUAAAUGGAAGAUAAUAUGCUUAUCAAAUAAUAUUCUCCUAAUUAGUCCAGGUCACUACAUGAAAGAUAGCAGUUGAUGUCUUAUCAAGCAAGUUCAGAACAUGGCAAAACAAAUUCUAAUGAUUUGACGGAACCACCUUAACGCUCCUCCUAACAAGAUCAGAAAUGAAACAGUUCAGCAGAAGUAUACAACCAACAUAGUUGCUCAAUCUUGUGUAGCAAAAACAUCAUAACAGGACAAAGACUUGAUGACAAAACUAUGUCAUACACUUCUUAUAUGAAUUUAAACCUCAUAAAGGAAAAGGAGAUCAAUUGCUUACAGUUGCACCCUCAAAUGUUCCUUGUUCAGAUCCGGCCUGUUUCGCAUUGGGAAUAACAAGAUUCUUUUGUUUUGCUUUCCUAAGAAGUUGAGAUAACACCUGAAGACAGUUGUUACAAGUUUCACAUCCGCUUAUAAAUAUAGGGAGAUAAGUGAGACUCCAAUAAAUUAAAAUAUAUUCUAUACGAAAAAGAACAAAAUGGUAGCAAAGCUUACAACCAACCUUAAUGCUCUGCCCUCUUGAGAGAAGAAAUGAGAUAGGGACACCUGUUACUCGGGCCAUCUCCACAUAGUUGUAAAUGAACAUCAAUUUGUCCAAAAGCCGUUGUGGGAGAUAAGCAUCCUACAGCAAAUCUACUAAAGUAAGUUUUUCAACGUAAAAUGCCCCUGAACUUACUGAUUACCAUCAGAUGUACAACAAACAUUUCAAGAUCCGACCACCAACUUCCUGUGAGUAAAAAAAAAACUCCAUGCAGCUUAACAUUUACUAAACAUAGACCUUUAUGAAUAUCCAGUAAGAAAUCGAAAGUAACAGACAUCUAAUUGGAACCCUAACAUCCCCAGUCCAUUCAAAAAAACAACUCUGUAUGUGCCUCAUGUUCCUCCAAGAGUGGACGAAUGUGCAGCUUCUUCUUUCACGAUUUAGAGACGAGUUAAUCAAAGAUAUUUGAAAGGAAAUGGAAAAGGAAGAUUUCUAGCUUCAUAAAUGAAAAAGAUGGUCAAAGGUUAGGAGCAUGAAUUAUACAGAACACUUUUGGUACCAUACAGCAAAGCUGGUCCACGAGGCUCCUGCAGUGCUAAACUCUACCCACAGAAAGGAUAAGGUCGAUUCCUCUAAGACCCAUGACCUCAGAAGUCAAAAGAGAACAACACUGUCUCAACAAGAAUACCCUUAUUUCCAAUAUAAAAAGACUAUUGCAGUAGAUUCCCUGAAAUUUCCCCAAGACAACAUAAUAAUAUAUCUAGCAUAUUGUAGCAACCAUAAAAGACAGCCAAUAAAAUUUAAAAAACAACAACAGCAACAAAGAAGAAAAACAUAUAGAAAGACAAAUGCACACACCUUCAAACAAUACUUAGCGAGACGCAUCCUUGUGUCUGAGUUCCCAUUCUGAAGGUCAGAUAUGAUUGAAUGGUGAACAUCCUCCUUCUGCACAAAUAAAAUAUUUAAUGAGCGCAUCAUAGUCAAACAGAUAUAUCCUAUAAACAACCUCUUUCUGCACAUAACUAAAAUUUCAACAAAUGUCUUAAAAUCCAAACAGAUAAGCAUAUCCUAUACGCGCGCGCGAGAGAGAGAGAGAGAGAGAGAGAGAGUUUCUGAAACAAGAUGCAUUAGAAGGCACAAGAACAAUGGUUUAUUCCCAAACUGCAGAACCAGUGAAUGAACAUCAGCUACUCUAAAAAUAAAUGUUCUGCUUUUGCCAGCAAAGAUCUUUGUAAUGUAUAUUUAUGUGUAAAAACCAAAGCAACAGAACCAGUUAUUUCUCACCAGCACAAGGCUGAAAGGAAAAGUAACUAUGACUGGAUAGUUACCAGCUUUUAAGCCUGUACCCUUAAUCUCCCUUCCUGGGCUUGCUUACCCACCCAGACAACUACCAACCAUGUGACCUUAAGGAGAAGAAAAAUGUUCUCCAAGGAAAGCACAUAUCUAGUCAUAUGGUCCUUGUCAAAGAAGUCACCUUCUCCCUGAAAUCCUACCUUUUGUUCACCCAUCAGGUAUGACAAAAAAGGACCAGGUGCAGACUUGAUUAAUAUGAUGGGGACCAUGAAAGCCCAGAUUGGCAGAUGAGUCCAGGAUUACCAGACGCUUGCCUACAACUCCAGUUAAGCCAAAAUAUAUUAAUAUAAAUAUGUUUUUUUUUGUUAAUGCAUGCUAAGAAUUCAGUCCAAGACUUCUCUCUCUCUUUUUUUUUUUUGGGGGGGGGGGGGGGGGGUGGUGGUGGGUGGUGUGUUAGUCUUAGGAUCAAAUAUAAAAUGGUCAUAGAUGUGGAAAGCAAUACCAGGACUCGAAAGUCCAGGAGGCAAACAAAACCAUUCUUACAGAUUCAUAAAUCAUCCCAAAACAAACAACCAUCUUGUUCUAUCAGCUGCUUUUAAAAUUUUGAAUCAGCUUGCAUUCACAAACAGACAGCCUUCUAUUUAUACUAGAAGGAGAAAUAAUCUUCUACGAGAAUACAUACAAGAAAUAAACACAAAAGACUUUUAAGGCACAUUAAUGUAACCUCUGAUCAUGCCAGAAUACAUAUAGUUUCUAAACCAACAAAUGAAUCCAAAAACUUUUGGUCUGAGUUUUAUCCACGAUUCAUCUUUACAGGGAGAAAUAAGUCUUGGUCUAUAACAUACAACCUAGUCUUCUCUUAUGCUUCAUUUUGGUGUUCAAAUACAAGCUUUCAACUCUUUUUAUGAUCUAAUCUGAUUUGCUUUUCAAACUGAAAUACAAUUGCAUAUUAAGAUUUCUUUACAGCAAAGACCGAGGAACCAGGGGGUGAAGGGAGGUCACCGCCCCAACACCCCCCCCCCCAAAUGGGCACCUUAAUUAGUGGAAUUUCUUAGCGCCCCCAUCAUUUUAGGAACUCUUUUGAAGAUUUUCUAUUUUGCUCCCAUUUCUACUAUUGCACCAACUCCCUCCUCUUACUUUCAUAUUUCCUCAAUUUAUGUCCUUAAAGUCUACCCAUCCAAAGAAGAAAGGAACACUGUCCAAUUGAUUUAUACCACGACUUCUCUAUACUGAUUUUAAAAUUUAGCCCCUUCAAAGAAAAUGCUUUCAAACAAGUUGUUCUGCAAUGCAUAUUCGUUUCUUCCCAUUGACAGAAUGCAAAAAGAGCAAUUCAAUACUCAAAUACUAAAUACUUCUAAAAAAAACACUUAAUAAAUUUAGCAAAAAAGAUAUCAUAGGGAGUAAAAUGAAAGGAAAAGCAACUUGACCAAUUUCAAAGAUCCCUACACAAUAUGUCCAUUUAGCAAGUGCCUUCACAAAAAAUAUCCAACCAAUACUAGAAGUACAGAAUGCUAUGUACCCUUAAACUAUGUAAAAUAUCCUUACCUGCUCAUUAAGGAAAUGUGCAGAGACUGAGUUCAAUGAAUACGAACUUAACUUAUAAUCCCUCUGCAUAACCUGCAGCAAAAGACAUGGCACAAAAAAUGACUUGAGGAAAUCUCAGAGUGAAAUAUCUUAUCACCAUGACUGAAUAAAGAAGACAUUUAAAAAAAGAAAUCCCCAAGAAAGCAUAGGGGUAAAUGCCUCAUAAGCAAAACCUGAAGCAAGUCAAAUUGAACUCUCCCUUCUAUUGUAACUUCUUUACUUUCCCUGGUACCGUAUUGUCUGCAUUACCAAAAAAUUACAAUCAAUCAUUGUUGUUCACUUACUUACCUGACACAACAGGAAAAUUUAAAACAGUAACAUAAUAUAUAAGUACCCAGACAUCAGACAGUUCAAGGGACAAAAUCCAUUAAACUUUAAAACCUAUUAUGGACUCCCACAUAAAAUCUCAUAUGGUUCUCCAACUCCAAGAUGAUACUGAUAACAUUUUCCACAGAUUAAUAGGAGGCUUUGCAAAUAAAAUGAACUUUCCUUACUCUACUCAUUCCAGCAUAUGAAAACUCAAAUGCGUAUAUUUUAACAGCUUCAGUCCUGUCUUAUUAAGCCUUUCAAGGCAAGCAACUAUGGUGAUUUGUCAAUUAUGGCUAACUCAUGAUUAAUUUGACUUCAUUGAGAAUCAGCUACGUCCAUUCAAGUGCAUUCACUUAAUGGCUUACUCCAGUAAUGUGAACAUUGGAUUGUCUGAUAACAAGAAACUUAGGCCCAGAAAAACUGGAUGUCGCAUAUGUACAGAGAUAGAAAGUUAACCGCUUCCAACAGCAAAGAAUGGAGCCAAUACCUACAAGAUCCAUUAAAGAGUUACUUUUCUAUUCUGCUAUGAAAAUAGAAAAGUAUAGCAGGAACCAAAGAAAAAUAACCUUAUCUUCAGGCAGAUUUUGAAUUGAAAGUUCAGUGAUUUUGGUCCUGAAUUUUCCUUGUAUGUUGAAAAAUGUGCCAGUUCAAACCUGUUAUAUUCUCCCAGGGAGCAUCUGUUUCCUAGAAUUCUUUCAUAAGUGUGUCAUAAUCUGAUUUUUUUUCUCUUUCUUUUUUCCCUUCUGGGUAUCUUCUUUUUCCUGUAUUUGACUUGCACAUCCAAGAACAUGAAUUCCUUUUACACGUGACAGACCGGGCAUCCACUCAAUCAAUGCAAAUUAACUAGACACUAGUUUGAAAGAGGAUAAACAACAUUUUUCAUGUAAGUUUUAUAGCCUGAAAUUAUAUGGAAGUGGUCUGUAUGAUGAAAUAAAGAGACAAAAAGCUAAAACUAUAUUAAAUGAGCAUAGAUAAGAAACAAGGGUGACUUAUAUCUCAAAGAAAAGGACUAAACAAGAGUAGGAUAAAGCAAAGGCAGCACUCAAAGGUAACAUAAAACACAGAGAAGACAAAAACACAUGACCGUUGCAUGUUCACUUUGCAUAUUAACAUACAUUAAAGAUAAAUGUGGUGCUUCACACAUAAAUGUUAAAGGGUGACGCCAACUAUCUAAAUGGGUCUUUUUAAGUGAAGUAAUAUUUUGUUCCCUUCCUCAAUGUAUGCUGUCUUCCAUCUGUCUGACUCUUUUAUCUCAGACAGCAGAGCUACUAGAGAUGCAAUGCACAUAAACUGGAUGAAAUAUGCUUGCAAGAAGCAGACCAAAAUGAGGUUGCAUUACAAAACCUUACGGAACGAGAAGCAAAGCAACAAGCAGCAUGGAUUACUAUAGGUAACUGGAUUUGCAGUCUUCUGCAACAUCUCAAUUAUCUCUGUUAAGGGCAAAUUGCGGAUUUGGGCUUUACUUAGUUACCAUAUAACAAGAGUUAUGGAUAUUUACCAUUUCCAGAUGACUGGGCUGUUGAAAAAUUGGCCCGAUCAAUCCCAUCUCCUAAACAUUAAGUUCUGGUUUUAGUUAGCAAUUUCUUCAUCCAGUUCUCUAAUAAAGGCCUUGCAAGGAAUAUUAAAUGUAUAUCCCAAAAACCACCGAAUGACUGAAAAAUCCAGUAUUAGGAAGUGAUUGAGCUUCUUCUACCUUCUGUUGCUUCCUUUAUCAUUCUUUCAGAUGGUUCUUUUUCGUCGUAACUUCCUUCCUCUCACAAAAUCUUUCAAUUCUCCAUAUUUAUUUGGCUAUCUGUUCAUCUAUAGAAACUAUAACAUUUCAAAGGCAACAAGCAAGGAAUUCAAAUAAUUUUCCAAGUCCAGAAAAGUCAACAGGGGCAGAGUCGUAAAUAACCUAAACAACUAGGCGGGUUUUGUGUUCAACAGGUAGCUAUCAGCUUUGACAAUUAGGAUAGAUAAGGUAAUUACUCAACAAGGUGGUGAUAAAGACCAACAGAAAACGCACAUCUUGUGUUGCAAAAGCAAAAGGACUUGUAUAAAAAAUAAAAAUAAAAAAAGACAUGAGAAUCAGCAGCUAGAUAAAUAUCCAUGUGUCACUCUGUAUCAGUAUCACAUCAAGUUCAAUACGCCACUUAGAUUCACCAGGUGUUUAGUUGCAAAAUAAAAAUUAAUGACUAAAGAAAGAAAGAACAAAUGCAUUGCUUUGUUGAUAUAGUAGGAUGGUGAGAUUUGAUGAUCUUCAUCAGAGCUUGCCAGGCAGAGAAAAGAAAGGUCAAAAAUAUAAUUACCUUGAAGAAAAUGUAGUAUCUUUGACACGGACUUUGCUGUUUAUGAUCCGUCCAAGUAAAGGAAACUCUGUUAUUCCUAGCACUUUAGCCCUCUAGACAACAUCAAAUGCAAAUCAAAUACUUGAGAUUGGAAAAGGCAUUAACACAUGGAAGGUUAAUCAUGAAAGGAAUGAUGAAAAGGUUCCUCUACCUCAAUAAGAUAGGGCAGAUCGAACUUGCAGAUGUUAUACCCAAUUAUAAUGUCAGGGUCCACUUCACGGAUAAAAUCCUAAAAUGUUAAAAAGAAAAAGAUAAAGCUGAAAUAAAAGCACCAAAGCAGAGAAAAAAAUCACAUUGCCCAAAGAAUGCUGCCAUUAGUUUUUCAAUCCUGAACUUUGCCUUUUCCUAUCAAAGACUUGGCAUGCUUCUGAUAAGCCGCUAUUAGUAAUAAGAGAAAUUUGUAGAUUGUAUCCUGUAAAUGCAAAAUUUGUAUAAUUUCUCCUGUGAAUGCAGAAUAAAAAUGCAUCUUUCCAAGUGAAAUCUUUGGAACUCAUAAGUACGCAACAUUUCCACCACUGCACCAUCACAACCAACAAAAAUUUCACCAAGGAAGAUAAAAGGUCUCUUAAACUACUAAGCAUUUGCAGACAGAAGCUCAUUUCAACAAAAAAAUUAGUGGUAUAUGUGUAUCAAGUGGCUAUUUGUAAAGAUUUAUUGGUCCAGUACCUUUUGGAUUUACUCUAACUUCUUUCUUUUCACUAGAAAAUACAAUUCAUUUAGAACAAUAUAUGACAUUGCCACAAACAACCCAUUCCAUACCACCCAAGAAAGAAAGGUGCUAACUAUGACUAAUCAAAAUCAACAAUGAAGCUUCUAUGUUGAGCAUAUUACCCGCCAAGCAAGUAAGACCUCUUUCUCGGUGUCAAAGGACAUAACAUCAACGCCAGCAAUAGGUGAGCACGACUUAAGCGUCAUUACAUUACGAACAAAUGGCUGAUCCUGUCCCUGCAAUGUAACUACAUUGGCCACCUGAAAUGCAAGAAGAGAAUGUCAUUCUGAAAAAGCUUUAAGGCAUAAAGUAUUCUCUACCCAUCAGGGGAUGAGAACAAUCUAACCUGGAUAACAGGAUCAUGGAUGGGCUCAGGGAAAAGACCUUUACGACCUGCACACUCUAUGUCAAAACUUAAAAUGCGAAAGGGAGCCAUCUUUGAGAAUUCUCCUUCAGGAACAUGGCUAACUAAGUCUGUGUAACUAAGACCAAUCGUUAAGGAAAUAUUUGUUCUAGAAAAUGCACAAUUCAAUAUAAUUCUGCCAAGAAGAGAUCUGAUUUCAACACCAUAGAAGAUUGUCUUUUACAUGUAUUCUAAUAGCAUUUUAGAGUCAGGAUACAGACAGUCAAACUCCAACUGGCAGUAGGACAGGUUUUUCGCUUUCUUUAUAUAUUUUCCUACUGGCACUUCAAUCCAAUUCCCACCAACAAUAUUGCAAUCAAUCAUGAACCGCAGAGCAAACAGAAUAUUACUCUCAUACGUCAUAAAGCUCUUCAAGCCAAGCCCAUCAAUUUGUAUGCCUCUGUCCAGGAUACCUAAUAAGUUUUGUCAUGUUAGAUGGAAACAAACAAAACAACAGUAAAAUCAUAUAUCAGGACCAAAAAAAAAAAUCAUCUAAUUACACUACUACACUGCUACACGUCCAGUCUACACUGCUAUACGUCCAGUCUACACUGUAACCCUCAUUUCCUUCAUCUUCCAGGGUAGGUGGAUGCAGAGCAUAUACAUUUGUGGCUAAUCUACACUUGAAGAGUCUUUUUACCAGGCACAUUUGUAAACUUACGGACCAAUUAAUGCAGCAUGUAAAAAGUCAUCUCUGAUAACAAAGACAUAACAGCUAAAAUAGGCCACGGCAGAUUUUUCCACUUCAGCAAAAGGAUAAACCAUCAAUCUGAUGGCCCAGAAACCAUGAAUGCUUUGUACAGAAAUUCACAUUGAACAAUUCAUUGCAGUGAUAAGCCUGGUAACAGUGUAACAAAUUCUAACCACGACAGCUGGUAACCAUUGUUGGCAAUGCCACUACUAUCUUGAGGAAAGGCUGAGAAUUCUGCUGUUGAUAAUACAUUAUGCUUCUUCUCUGAACCAAUUCAACCCGCCGCACAAAAUAAGGAACAUUGCUAUUCCUGUUCACAUCUCUCAUCCUUCCCUGCACCAAUAAGCAAGGAAUGAAAAGAGAGAGAGAGAGAGAGAGAGAGGGUUGAAAAUUAUUUUCGUGACCAAAUGGGACAGUAAUUUUAGGAUAAAAUGGAUGGACAGGAGAUUCAAUAUUUUGGGUGACUUUAUGUUCUAAGAAAACAGGAUGCCACAAACGUGCACAUAUGUAGACUGCAAGGAAUGAGGCACCUCAAGAAUUUGAUGAAGAUAAAUACAGGGUGGACAUAUGUAAAAUGAAUUGAAAGAGUACCUACCUCGAGAAUUUGAUGAAAACGCGAAAUGUCAUCAGGACCCAUUCCUGGAGGGCAGCUGAUGUAGAAAUAAGGUUCAAACCCAUGUACGUGACAGCAAACACUAUGUCCUGGCCAACAACCGAGACAGCUUGCUUAAUACUUGUAUGAUAACUUUCAAUGCAAAAAAUGAAGAAAAUAAAUAAACACAAAUAAAUAGGACUACUGCUUAUAACUACUUUAUAUGUACCAAUUUAUUUAACCUUUAUAAAAUUAUGCGAACAUGAAUAAGCAUAAUCUGCAUUUUCUUCAUUACCAUCAAACACUAAAUUCACAAGCGCAACAUCCUAAUUCCAGUAUAUUCAUAUUUAUCAAAACAUAGCAACAUCUAACACGAAGCAUAAACUUGAAAGACUGAAUUAACAAAAGUUAAACUUCCAAACCUAUCCAAUCCAUAAAGGAGCCCUAUUUCGAUUUUCAGUUGCACAAAUUCUAGUUCAAAAAAUAUCACUGAACAAUUUAUUGAUGUCUUGAAGUACCACUUUUUGUGGCCACAGAUGUGAAGAGAAAAGAUCAUCAGUUUUUCCUUAUGUGUGGAAAUAGCUUACUUAUUGGGACAAUAAGCCAUAUGUGUGUAUAGAAAGAGAGAGAGAGAGAAACUGUCAAACUUUCCAAAGACACAACCAAGCAUGAAAUUUACCAAAAACUAACUACAAAACUUAUGCAGAAUCAGUUGGUCAAUUUCAAUCCCGUUUAACUAAUUGAAACAGAACCCAACAGACCAAUCAACUCAACCCCCCCCCCCAAAAAAAAGACAUACUAGAAUGGUACUACUCCAGUUCAGCAGUUAAAGAAAAACAUUAACUAUUUUAAUUACAAUGCUAUUACUCAUAUUUUCUGUAAGAACUUCAAUAGACCACAAAUUCAGCUCCAUAUAGUCAGUACCAGACCCCAUAUUAGUCCAAAAUAAAUGUAGAAAUACUCGAAUACAUACGCACCUUCUUUGGUGACACCAAAGAUUCUCAAAAUAGGAGCAACACCAGAAGACUUAGGCAGCAAUUCUUUAUGACUCUCGCCAAUCACAUAGUCAAUUUCCAGCUGUUGAAAUACUACUCAAAGAAAAAAAACAAAAUUAACCACAAGUUUCAAAGAACCAUUAAAUUUCACAUUUUUAACAAACCCUAAACUUCAGUAUUAUAAUCCAUAUUAGGCUAAAAUACAGCAAUGGCAACUUCAGUAAUAACUAAGUCAAAAUGGUAAUUAAACAACAUACCGAUGCUCUGAGACUGUGAGGUGUAAAGUUGAGAAAGCGGAGGCCGCUUCCAUUUUUGCAGCCGCUCCUCGGCUUCACGCAGGGCUUGGGUGUCUUCUUUGUUCAGGGGAAGUGGGGUUUCGUCGAGGUAAUAGUUGUCCUCGUCUCCCUCGUCGUCUUCCAUCGCAGCAUGGUGCUUCUGCUGCGGAUGUUGCGAAGGCGCCGGCGGCGGAGGCCGUUUUCUGCUGUUGCCGGUGUUGCUCAUAUCGCCGGAGUUAGGAGAAGCCAACGGGGGAGGAGAGAGAGGGUUUUGGUGGAGCGUGGGAAGUCGGGUUCCCGCCAAAUUGUUGUAGUUGGGUUUUUUAAGGGUUUAAUUUCACGGGAUUAUUGGACGGUAAAAACAAAUCAGAACGGAUCCCUGAAAUUGGAUUCGGAUCUGGACCGGUUGUCCAACCGGGAGGACCAGGCAGAUACAGUUGGUUUAUAUUCAAUUAGGUACGGUUGGUUAAGUAUAACAUCGGUUGUAAACGAAUCAGACUGCAUACGAAUCGAUUCAAUCAAAGUUUGACUCGAGUUUGGUCAAUUGUCAUAAUUCCAAAUAUAUUGGAUAAUUCAUAUCUUUAGUUGUUAAUAUUAUAGUUUAGUGGAGUUUGAAUUGGUUAGCAAGGAUAAACAUGUAUAUAUACUUAUAAAUUGUUGAAAGCUAUUGAGUAAUAUUAGAAUUUCAAAUCAAUUUCUCUCAGGCGACGCCAAAAUUUCAGAGCAACUCAAGAUUUUCCAAGAUAUUCCUGAACAACACUUAACCCUCAUGGCUUUUAACAGUUCAAGGGACUUUUAUGGAACAAUCGAGAGUUUACUCUUUCAUAAGAAUCAUUGCCUGUGUAAAGAGAAUAAGAAUGAGUUUAGCCUAUCAUGGUUUCUUAGUAAAAUUCUGAUAUUCAAACUUUUCUGCCUUUCUUUCAUUUCAUUCAAGGAUUUAUACAUCAGAAAGAUAGCUCUUUUUUAAUAGUAGAACGACUCUUUGGAAUAUUAAUGAGCUUUCAAACAACCAAGCGACUCUUUAAACAGUAAAACAAUUAUUUUGAAUAUUAAAAUACAAACGACUUUUCAAACAACCAAAUAACUUUUUAAGCAGUAAAAUGACUUUUCUAUGGGAUCCAUUGAAUCUUCUUUCAGACAUGAGUAGGAUAGUAGAUAUCCUCAUCUGGUGUGUCUGAUGGAGUGCUAUCAGGAUCAGUAAUGUUGUACAUCUCAAUGUGAUCCAUGUGUCUUCUUUUAUUCUGUCUUUUGUUGAGAUAUCUUUGCUUUGUUGUCCUUCCUUUGAAUUUUGACGAUUGUGCAGAAGAACUUGCUCCUUGGUCAUACGGAUCUUGUGAGUCUUGCAUAGCACUAUCAUUUAUCAUUUUCAGAUAAUUUUUCUUGGCUUUUUCAAUUGUAUUCCAAUGGGGAUGAAUGGUACGAUAAUUCCAAGGACCAUAAUGUCCUGUCCAAAUUUCUUGUGGAAUGGAUUGGUUUUGUUGGAAUAUGUACCUUUAGGCUUCUUCAUGCUCUUCAUCAAGGUCUAAAAUAGUAUGGAAAAAUUCCUAUAGAUAACUGCACUUGAAAGAGUUUGGAGGAGAAACAGCAUUAAAAUAAAAUGAAGUUGAUUUCCGAAGAGGUUAGGAGAUAAUGAUUUUGUCUGUAAAUAUCAAAUCCAAGAAUGAUAUCUUUCCCUGUGAAAUUUGCUCCCAAAAUUCGAGUUUGAAUUUGACAAUAUGGGAGUACUUUGAUGAUAAUGGGGUUUUUUGUUCCAAACCUUGUUUGGAAAAUUUCCCCAUCAGCCACUUUGAAAUCAUGGAUUUAUUUAAUCCAAUAUGAAUCAGGUAAAAUAUCCUUUUUCAGAAUGGAUAUGGUAGCACUUGAAUCAAAGAAAGCAAUGACUGGAAUAGGUUUAGAGUACUUAUCCAUUAAAAUAUGAACUAAUGUUUGGGGAUAAGUAUCUGUUGAUUUUAGAGGUUUGAUGGAAAAAAUUUCUUCUGGUACCUACAAUGCCAAAAGAGUACUAUCAGUAACAUCUUCUUGUUCAGAAAACUCAAAUUCUAAACUAGAAAAAUGAAUUUGAAAUUCAUUCUGAAUUUCUGAAAUUAAUUUUACUCCCUUUUGAUUUUGAGGACAAUAUUUUGCAAAAUGUCCUGAUAUUCCACAAAUGAAACAUUUGCUUCCUUUCUUGCCUCUAAACUUUUUUUCUUUCCUUUAGAAGUAUUCCACCUUUUCCUGAAAGAUCUUCUUGGGUAACUUUUGUUAAAACCUUUGAACCUUUUGAACUUUUUCUUUCUUCUGUAGCUUGAAGGACUGCAAGCUUGGCAUUUUCCUUUUGUUAUCAGCUCAGAUUUUUUACAGGCUUGGUCUAAACAGACAUCUCCCUUGAGAUAUUUUCGAAUAAUUUUUCGUUUGUUGCACAAAUUAUUCAAGGAAAGAAAGACUGCUUGUUUGAUCUGACCUGUAGAAAGAUUUAAAAUAGAACCAUAUUUAUUAUAGAUAUACAUUUCAACACCAUCAGUAAGAGAUUUAGGUAGAGAACUUAUAAAUGCUUGUUUCAAGUUAAUAUCAACACCUAGAGUAAAAAACAAUUGAAUCAUUUUUUUGAAAUAUUUAUUAAGAUCUUUUCAAUCAUAAGAAAGACAUUCAUUUGAAAAAAUUCUUUUCUUUUUGUUCCUUUACUCUCUUUUACAUCUCCAAUGAACAUGAAGAGCAAGAUAUUAAUAUUUUCAAAAAAUUCUUGUCUAGUUAGGAAAAACAUUUUAUCUUGUUCUCCUAAACUUGCCUACCAGUCUUUGAGGAUUCCUGAAAAUUGAGCAGUGAAGUCAGAUAAAAUUUCAAAAUGAGAUUCUUCAGUAAUAUUUUGGAUAAUCAUCUAAGCAUGAAAAUUCUGAAAUUUUUCUUCCCACUUUGAUGAAGGUACAUCAUCAAUUGUAAAGAUCUGAGUUCCUUUCAUUUUUGAUGAUGUUUUCUUCUAACUAUUGGACGUUUCACCAAUUUCUUCCUCUUCAUCAGGAUGAACAACUUUGACUUUGUUGCCAUAUUCAGUUCGGGGUUUUGAGAUUUCAUCAAAAUUUUCUUCUCCAGUAAAUUCUUCAAUAGAAUCUUCAAGGCUUGAAUUUUCUUCAAUACUUUCAGUACUAUUUCCCUUGGUUGAUUAUGAGUCUGAAUCUUUAUCCUUUCUUCUUAACUUUUCUCAUAUUUCUCUCUUAGUUUUCAAUUCUGUUCUUAGGAAUUAUCCCGAAUUAUAGAGCAUUCAAGCCUACACGAUUUUGGUGUCCACGGCAGAAGGUUUGCAAUUUACAAUAAUAAAAGAAACUGGGAUUCUACCAGUAGAAACAGAUGCGAAGGAGGAGGCCAUAUAUGAACUUCUAGAGUAGUACUUCAAGAAUCAAGAUCUACAAUUGCAAAAACUAAUGUGCAGUUGCCAGGAAUUCCACCAAAACCUUAGCGAAGAUCUUCAUAAAAGUUUUCAAGAAAACAAUAAGAAAUUGGAUGCCUUAAUGGAAAGAUUAGACCAAAAGUUUGAUCUGUUGAUUCAAGCCUUCAAUGGUGGAAAAAGGGUUCUAACGGGAGAAUGCUUUGAUAGCGAUCGAAGAUUUGUUGUGGAGGAACAACACUUGUUUGAUUAAAGCAAUUCCAAGAAUCAAGUUUCUCAUUUUAAGAAGGUGAAUCUUGAGGAAGAGUCGAACAAGGAAGAAAUAGGCAACAUUUUACUACGAAAUGUUUCAAUCAGUGAUUUGAUUAUGAUUUCUAUAGAAAAUUAUGGGGAAAGGAAGAGAAAAUGUGACGAAAUCAUAUUAAAUUGUCAAUUGAUGGAUGAUACGAAGAAUGAAACUCAUGGAAUUUGUAUACAAGAGAAUGUUGAUAUUGAGUCCCACGACCUGCAAUUGAUGAAAGGAAAUAAUAAUAUGUCUGAAUCUUUUGAGGCGCGUCAUGAAUUAGAAAGAGAAACAUUGCAAGAUAAAGUUGAUGAGCCUGGUAUACAGCAGCAAUGAGCUAUUCUUGAAAAGAAUUAGAAAGGGGCUGAAGAAUUCAGAUUAUUGAUAUUGUUAGGAACUCUUAGAUUAAUUGUAGAUUAUGUAAUUAGUGUCUUGAAGGCAGACACCAAAUUGUGUUACACUUCUUGAAGCGGGGAAACCUCAUGGAGGUUUUUGUAGUUGUUUUUCUUCAAGAGCAUUUCACUGGAAUCAUCGGUAAUAGGAGUGUCAAUAGGGCCGGACCAGCCCGAACCUGAUCCGUUCGGCCCUAUAAAAAGCCCAAUGAGCCUACAAUAUCAGUGAGUCGGGCUGAGCUUGGGCCUCAAAACUAGGCUCAUAUUAAAUAUGAGCCGAGCUUGGGCUUUAUUAGGCUCAAACCCAAUAGACCCGGCCCUAUAUAUAAUAUAAUAUAGGUAAUAUUUAUAAUAUUUAUAUUUUGGUAAUAUAAUUAUAUAUAUAGGUAUUAUAUACAAUAUUUAUGUUUUAGUUGUAGAAAACCAAAAAAAAACAUUAAUUUUUGUAAAAAAAAAAGAAAAGAAAAAGUGGAUGCCAUCAUGAGCCAUGAGCCAUCCUUUUGACCAUAGAAGAGCAACUUGAGCAAGUGAGCAACGACAGGAGUAAGAGGAAAAACAAGGAAAGAGACAACGGCUAAAAGAAGAAAAAGAGAAAAGGGAGAGAAGAAAAGAAGAAGAAAUGAGAAGAAAAAGAAAGGGGGAAAAGAGAAGAGAGAAAGGGGGGAUCUGAGAAAAAAAAAGAGAAGAGAGGGAGGCAACGAAAGAGAGAAGGAAAAACAUAGAAGAAAGAAAGAGCAGAAAAAGACAGAAGACACAGGAAGAAAAAAAAAGCUCUCGCUCUCUAGUCUCCACUCCGUCUCUCAAUCUUCUCCUGUUUUUCAAUUUUCCUUUUUUUGGCAUUAGAUGUCAGAUGCAAACAAUGAAGACAUUGUUAUUACAAUCACAGAUGUUGAAGCAACAAAAACUGCAGCUGAACAAGAACCUGAAGGAGAAGAAACAAAUAAAGGUGAAAAGAGGAAAAAAGAAAUGAAUGUGAGGUCCAAAGUUUGGCUCCAUUUCACCAAGAUUUCACCAAAGGAAGAGGAAUGUACUUGCAAUUAUUGCAAGAAAAUUUUCUCCUGCUGUAGCAAAGGAUGAACAACUUAUUUGCAUCGACAUAUAUUUGGGGGCAUAUGUGUAGCCUACAAAAGAGCCAAGGGAGGACAAUCGUCAAAAGGGCAAACACUUCUUAGUUUCUCCAAAGGUAAUUCAGAUCAAGUUAAUAACUCUGUUUGAAAAUUCGAUCAAGAGAGUAGUCGAAAAGAUCUAACAGAGCUUAUAAUUAAUCGAGAGCUGCCAUUCAAUUUCGUUGAAGAUAAAUCAUUUUAGAAGUAUGCUCUGAGUCUUAAUCCGAAGGUUAAAUUUGUGUCUAGAAACACAAUGAAAAGUGACUGUAUGAAAAUAUAUGAAUUUGAAAAAAAUAAAUUGAAGGAAAUUUUUUUGCAAUCCAAACCAAGAGUAUGUUUGACAACAGAUACUUAGACAUCUAAAACGGAUCUCCCUUUCAUGGCAUUGACUGCUCAUUUCAUAGAUAAUCAUUGAAAAUUGCAUAAAAAAAUUAUCAAUUUUGUCUUGGUUCCAAUGAAGAUAUCCGGGGAGAAUCUAUCUGAUAUAAUUAUUAAUUGCUUGUUAGAGUGGAAUAUUGAUAAGAUAUGCACCAUAACUAUGGAUAAUGCUUCAACUAAUGAUGUUGUUGCUAGAUGCUUGCAAGAGCAUUAUUCAUUUAGAGGUGUAUUAUUGGUAAAUGGGAGCAAUAUUCAAGUUCGUUGUUGGGAUCAUUUUCUUAAUUUGAUUGUUCAAGAAGGAUUGGAUGAGAUUAAUGAUUGUAUUCAUAUGGUUAGGAAUGCAGUUAAAUAUGUUAGAGGAUCUGCUAAGAGAAAACUUGAGUUUCUACACUAUGCUGACCAGGAAUGUAUUUCUAGAGGCAAAAUGUUAUCUCUAGAUAUAUGUACAAGGUGGAACUCAACAUAUUUAAUGCUUGAAUCUGCAUUACAUUAUAGGAGAGCUUAUGAUCGUAUGAAAACUCGUGAUUUGAACUUCAAGGAUCCUCCAUUGGCUGAUGAUUGGGAAAAAGCUCGGAUUGUUCAUGAUUUUCUAGAAACUUUUUAUACUGUCACAAAAAUUUUCUCUGGCAGCAAAUAUUGCACAGCUAAUGUGUUUCUUCGUGUAAUCUACCAUGUGUUCAUGUUAUUAAGGGAAACUUCUAUAGAGAACAGUCCACUUCUUGGAAGCAUGGCAUCGAACAUGUUGGUGAAAAUUGAGAAAUAUUGGUUAGAAAAAGAGCCAAAUAUCUUGCUAUCUGUUGCUUUUGUUUUAGAUCCCAGGUUUAAAAUGAGAAAAUUGAAGACCAUCUUGAGCAAGAUUUAUGAGAGCUAUUUAGCACCAUAUAUGUUAGAUCGUGUUCACACAACACUUCAGGAUCUUUUCAUCGAGUAUGUAAAGGUUUAUGAAGUGAGUUGUUAGUAGGAUAUAACUUCACAAAACGAAAAAACUAUAGGGACAGGCAACAACACUUCUUCCACAGUAAAGAAGAAUUACAUGGAUGAUUUUUAUAGUUUUGACGAGGAAGAAUAUAGCACUUGUAACAAGACAGAGUUGGACUCUUAUUUGGAGGAAAAGAUAUAUCCAAGCAAGGCCGAUGAAGAAAAAUCAUUUGAUGUAUUGGAUUAUUGGAGAACUAAUGCAGCCAAAUUUCCAAUAUUGUCCAUGAUGACAAGAAACAUUUUAGCUAUUCAUGUUUCUUCUGUUGCAUCUGAGAGUGCUUUCAGUACAAGGGGAUGUGUUUUGAACAAGUUUCGUAGCUCAUUGUUAUCCUCCACUGUUGAAGCAUUAAUUUGUACUCAAGAUUGGAUUAAAGAUGCACCUAAGGAAAUUAAUUUUGAACAAGAAUUUGAUCUUGAUUUUACUGGUUAGUAGCAAUAUUUAAAAAUUUUCAUUAAUUAUUUGAUUUCUUGUUGAUAUUUAGACUAACAAGUAGUGUUUAUUCUACCAGUUCCUCUUCCGUCCAAGAGUUAAAAUCAACUCCUCUACCGGUUUUUUUGAGAGCAAUAUUGGUAAUGUAUAUCUAAAACUUUAACUUUUUUUAUUGGUUGAGUAAAUUUUUAUAUGAGUUUGGAUUCAACCCGAAUAUUAUGUGAGUCGAGCAUGAGUUUGUGAGUCGAGCAUGAGUUUCACAUUUAUUAACCCGAAACUCAUAACCCGAAACCCGAAGAUGUUAUAAAUUAAAUGAGCUGAGUUUGGGCUUAUAAAAACCCGACUCAUUAGGCCCGAUUGACAGACAGAGGUAAGGAGUCCAAAGUUGUGAUUAAACCAUGGGUUGAAGUUAUUACUGGGUUCAAAGGUGGCACUCUUACAAGAAGUAUUAAUCAAAGUCCAAAUCAAAAUUAUAGAAUAGUCACUUGGGUAAAAUUGAAUGUUGGUUGCAUGUCUCUCCUUGAAGAUAUUGCUGAUGAUCAAGAUUCAUCAUUUGCUACUGAAUCAAAUACACGUGUCAUUCUUGUUUUUGAUGGCCUUAGUGGUUACCAAGCUGGUGUGGAUGUAGAAAUGAUUAAAUUAGUGGUUCAUUAGUUCCAGAGAAAUCAAUCUUAAUUCAAGGAGGAAUGUGAUUGCAGAAUCUGAAAUUUUUAUGAAGGCAUCCGUGCGACACUCCUGGACUCUUCGAGGAAGAAAAAAUCACUUUGCAGGAGCUAUUGACAGCUACUAAGGUGAAGAUAUUCUUUGAUUUUUGGUAUACCAAGAUCAAACAUCCAUUUGUGGAGUUGAAAUGUGUAACAUCUUCUAAGAGCUUGAUGACAAUAGAAGAUUAUUUUUCCCUUUUGCUUGGCUUCUUUGAUAUGUUCAAAAAGGUAUUUGAUUCAAUGUUGAAGCCAAGUAAGUUACCGGCGGACUUGGUAAUUGUUGAGCAGCUUCUUACAAUAAUUAACCAGUAUAUUAGUAGACCCUAGAUUGAGUGUGCGUCUACAUUUAAGGGUGGCACUGGUAGUUUGAGGGAAUUGUUACAUUCAAGAGUUUCACAUUUACUCUUUAAGAAAUAUGUGCAUAACUUAGAAAACUUGAAGCUCAAAAUUCAGAAAUUGACUAGUAUUAGGAAUUGGCUACAACCGUUUGUUGCAAAAGGAGUUGUUCCAACUUAGAAAACAGCAUUUCAUAGAGUUUUGGAAGGGUGAGAUCAAAUAAAUUCCCUUGUUGCAUCGUCUUUGAGUAGCACAUUGCCAUUGGGAAAGCAACCAAUAUUAGAAGAUUAUGAAGCUGCAUUUGAUUGUCUGAUGUUGACCAAAAUAGUUCACAAGAUUUCUGUGAAUGUUGCAUUUCUCCAGUUUUCAGCAUUGUUUUGAAAAUCAGAUCGGAUCGGCCAGUUCGAUCCGUUACACCGCGAACUAUUCAUAAUUCUGGUUUGGUUCAUAUUUUGGAUUGAUUGGAUAUAAAAAUUGGUAAAAAACAAUUCAAACCAUACGAACCGGAUUGAACCGUUGAAUUGGUGAUUUUUUUGUUUUUUUCUAUUGAAUUGAAAAAAAAAUAGGUUUUCCUUAAUCCCAAUGACUAAUUAUUAUACGCCACAUCUACUCACUUUUUUCUCAUUUUUUGCCUCUUAUCAAAUUUGCAUUUCUAUUUUCUAUUUUCCUGAUUUUUUUCAAACUCCAAACUUUUUUUUAAGUUGUAAUAUCUAAAUCCAAAAAAUGUAAAUUAAAAUUUAAACUCACAGUGUUUAAUUCCCAUAGAUGUGAAUUUUGUAUAAUUUCAGAAUAUUGUGGUAUUUUUGGGUUGGAUAUAAGAUUAUUUAUUUGGUAGAUAAUAUUGAGAUUGAAAUGUAAUUUAUUUGUUUCAACUAAUAAUUUUAAAAAUAUAUUUGUGAAAAUCCAAGUUCUUUCAAAAUAUUAAACUUUUCAGCAUAUAAAAUCUUAAAUUAGUCCAGUGCAUGUCUUACUUUGUGCAUAUAUAUUUAUAUAAAUUAUUUUUUAAAAAACUCAUUGAACCAAGGUUGAACUGGUCCGACCGAUUAAAUCUCGACUCAAAUACCUUGCCGAUUCAAUUAACGGUUCGAGUUUCAAAACAUUGGUUUUAGUUUCAAAGCUCAAUCCUUGAGGACAAGCAUUCUAAGAGGGGAGUAUUGUCAUGACCCCAAAUGUAUUGGAUAAUCCAUAUCUUUAAUUGUUAAUAUUGUAGUUUAGUGGAGGGUUUUGGAUUGGUUAAGAAGGAUAAACGUGUAUUUAUACUUCUAAAUGGUUGGAAGUUAUUGAGCAAUAUCAGAAUUUUCAAGUCAAUUCUUUCUAAUUUCUAGUUCAUCUGUUUAUUUCUCUCUCUCUCUCUCUCUCAUCUUUCCUGCGUUCUUCCUUUUUCUUCUUCCUUUUCAACUUGUCUUUCUCAUAUCUUCUUCUUGAUGAUCGAUUCUUGACAUCAACAUUGAGUUCAAACCAAUCAAAUCGAGUUAUCAAAUAUAUAGCAAGUAUAAAAAAACUAAACUCGUUAGUUCACGAGUUGGCUCAAACACACACACACAUAUAUAUUAUUUAAAUAAUAAAAUUACAUAUAUUUUAUUCAUUUUUAAAAAUAAAAUAAGUAUUUUUUAUUUUUUAAAAUUGAAUAGACUUAAACUCAAGUUUGACUAGGCUCGAAUUUGAGGUAGAGGUCGAACUCAUGUUUUACAUUGAAAGUUUGCCAAGUUCGAAUUUGAUAAAAUUGAGUUGGUUGAUUUGGUGGUUGAAUCGACAUUUAAUUGAGUGGGUAGCUAAAUUUACUUUACCCAUGUUUCCAAAUAUUUAAGAUAGGGCUAGCUAAAUUUAUGUUAAUGAUAUUUUAACACCAUGCCUAGUUUAUAUUGUAAUAUAAAAAAAUAUGUGUACAAGCAGCAAAUAGUUGUGUUUAUACAUAUUUUUUUGUUAGGUCUGUCUAAUUGGUGCUUUAGGCAAUCGUUAAAAUAUAUUUUAAGUGUCAUAUUUUUUUUGGAAAUGUAAGAUUAAUAAGGGAAAGAAAAUAAAUAUAAAGGAGGAUGGGAGGGUAGAUAAUAUUAAAAAGGGAAAAUAUAUAAAUAAAAGAGAAGAUAAUAAUUGUUAGUAUGUAUAUAUAUAUAUAUAUAUAUAUAUAUAUAUAUAUAUAUAUAUAUAUAUAUAUAUAUAGAGACGAAUCUUAAUUGUGUUAACGAGUGGCCUAUGGACACAUAUUAGAAAAAUUCAUUUUUGUUUAUGAACAAUUUUCUUGUAUUAUAAAAGUAUUACACCUUCUGCAAACGAAACAGGCAUGUAUACAAUGAGUUUGUUUGGAUAGGAAGAUUUGCAAACAAAAUUUCAAAUUUUUUUCUACUUACAUCAUAAAUACAAUUUCUAACUACCUUUUUAUCUCACGUACAUCACAUCACAAAAAGUGCUACAGUAAUUAUCUCAAAUAAAUAUUUCAAAUAACCUCCUAUCCAAAUAUUUCAAAUAAUUUUCAUGCUUUUACAUAAUUGGAAUAUUACUCGAAGUACUUUGGCACUUUUACACAAUUGAAAAAUUCAAAUAUUAAGAGUUUUUUUUUAAAGAAAAUGUAUUAAGAGUUUAUAUAUUUCCCAAAUAAUCUGGCAAAACCUAGGGUGUCACUCUAACGUACAGAAUUUAUAACAGACAAGAAGAUGCCUUGUCUUGAGCGAGAGGCCAAUAGUGAAGACUCGUGCCUCCUCCUUGUCCGUUGAGUUGAAAAAACAGAGCAAAGCCACAAGUUUUCGUUUUCUGCAGGUGUGGUUUUCAUCAGCUGUGAAGAAAGAAUCAGGCAGCAAAAACGACAACGUCAAGCUCUCCCCUUAUCAACGUAAAUCCACCAUCCCUUUACUGCUCCUUUGCUCUCCCUUCAGCUGGUUGAUUUAGUUCUUCAAGUCUGGGAUGCGAAUUCCUUUAGCCAUUUGUUGCGUGCCAGAUGUUCGACGAAAUGCUCAUGUGAAGUUGGAUUAUAUUUACACAACAUUUUUGGUGCGGCUACCUACCCUUUAGGUUGCUUGGAGGGAGGUGAAAAAAACUCUGGUUAUUGAAUAUUAAAUCCAUAAGCUGCUUAUCACAGUAGUGAAUGCAAGAACAUGUAUUGUGAACCAAUGAAAUAGUAAGAAGUUUUGAAGUCAUGAAGAUUCUUUUUGUAUUUUGGGUUUUCUGUUUCGGUAGUUGUGGGGGAGGGAGAGGGGAUAGGGUUGCUCUGUCUUCAGAUUUUGUAAAGAAGAGCUUGUACAAGAUUCAGUUACCACAUAGUCCACAUAACUUUGACCCUCUUCCCUGCCCCAUCUGCCAAUGCGAUGAAAAUUAAGAAUCAAGUUCAGAUGAAGCCACACUAAACACUACGAUUAUCACAUUCCACUCCUAUGGGUUGAGAUAAAGUAUGUGCAACUGUUUUUUCUUCCUAAGUGCAUAAUGUACAUUCAGUUGAAUGAACGUGGAGAGGUUAAAUCUAGUUACCUGCUAAUAAUUGGGGUUUUCUUUAAUAGCUUGGAAAUUAUUGCUUCAGUGUUGACUAUUCAAGUUUAAUCUUCGUCCUUUCUGUCAUACCACUAGAAAGUUGGACUUGUUCGCUUCCUACAUUAGGCACUUUAGGUAUCAGAUUUAACUUUCUGUGAUCAGAGUCCAAGUAAUGUUGGUUAACAGAUUAGUUUGGAAAUCUCAAGGGCGUUAUAAAAGAAAGGGCAAGCAAGCGAGAAACUUCCAUAAAGAUAAAUUUAUUAAACUUCUUGGUGCUUUAAGAUUUUAAGUGGAUUAAUGAUGUAAGAUUACUUUGAAGUUUAUGGUUCCUAUACUUGGGAAUGUUAUCAGAUGAGGCAAAUUUUUCUACAAUUAAUCAUCUUAAACACUCUUUUCUUGUUUGUUUCUCUUUAGUUAUCCAUGAUUCAGGAGGAGCACUGUAGGGUGUGUUGACAAAUGAUCCAUGGUCUUUUUUUUUUUUUUAAUGUCACCUUGUAGAUAAUCUAAACAUGUGGAAGGUUUUGUUAUUAAUUCAUCUAUAUGAUCAAAAUUCAUGUGCCUCUUUGGUGAUGUCACUUUUAUUCGUGGCAUAGGUGCAUCAAAGGGCUGGCUUUGGUCCAAAGGAAUGGUGAAGUAUUCUGGACAUACACUAAUUUCUUCUCUUACUCCUUUUUGUUGUGUCCUGAAAAACCAUGGCAGAUUGUCAUCAAGUCUGUUUUAUGGAAGUUCAACAAAGUCAAGGGUGUACCAUUACUGUAAGAGGAGCCACUUACAUACUGAAACUAUAAUGGUUUCUCUGCGUUAUCACCCUUCUUGGUUCAGGUGACUCCUUGAUAUUCUGAUCAGUUUAUUUGACUGUAGCAUGACUUUGUUAUUUUCCUCAGCAUGACUUGUCUUUUGUUUAGUGUCUUCUUGUCAAGAAAUUUCUUCGCCUUGCUAAUAGAGGUUGAAUUUUCAGUGUGGCACCAAUGAUGGAUUGGACAGAUAAUCACUUUAGGACUUUAGCACGGCUCAUCUCAAAACAUGCAUGGUUAUACACAGAAAUGAUUGCUGCAGAGACAAUUGUCUUUCAGAAAGGAGAUUUGGUAAGUCUUCAGGAGAUUUUCUUCUUGAUGAGCAAUGGGUGGAAAAAAAGGUAACCAGAAUGUCAUCACAUGGAGAUGUAGAAAAAAGAAAAAAAUCUUACCGUCAAGCAUUCUGAUCAUUGAAACUGGGGAGAUAUGAUUGUGUGUAAUAUUCAUGUUUGCUACUGUUAUGCUGGUGAUUAUCUUAGAAAUUUUUUGGUUCCUGAGGCAUAGGCAGAUUUAUGAUUAAAUUAUCUCAGAAUCUUCAUUUCUUUUGUACCUCGUGCCAGAUAUAAUGUUCUUUUGUAUCUUUUGUGAUCAACUGUCUAUGCAUAUAAAAUACUGUAUAAUAUUUUUUUUCCAGAACCAGCACUUCAGUUUCAAUCUGUAAAUGCAGUUUAAGUGGAAAAAGAGGUCUAUUGUGCCAAAUUAGCAUUUGGCGAGUCUAGUAAGGAAUUUCCAGAGACAUCUCAUACUGACUAUUUUUCUGGGAUUUUCAGAACCGAUUCUUGGCAUAUGGUCCAGAGCAACAUCCAAUAGUACUUCAGAUUGGGGGAAGUAAUUUGGAUAACCUCGCAAAAGCAACUCAACUUGCAGAUCCCUAUGGCUACGAUGAAAUCAAUUUCAAGUUUGUUUUUUUUGUCUUGUAUGCAGAAGCUCUUGAUUUUUGCUGCCUUUUGAAUUUGAACUAAACCACUUCUAUUCAACAGUUGUGGUUGUCCUAGCCCAAGGGUAGCUGGACAUGGCUGUUUUGGCGUGCGUCUUAUGCUGGAUCCAAAGGUCUUUUACUGGUUGAUUAAAUAUAAGUUAGUUUUGUUCAUGUGAAUAUGGUCUGAAGAGACAAAUUUGUUUUUACAAGGGAAGUUUGUUGCUGAGGCCAUGUCAGUUAUAGCUGCAAACACUGAUGUACCUGUGAGUGUCAAAUGCCGAAUCGGUGUUGAUGACCAUGACUCAUAUUAUGAGCUCUGUAAGUUGACUUAAGCAAAAGAUUUUUGCAGUUCACAUGCUGAAAUUAAUUAUAAAAAGUCUCACUUCUUAGAAAUGAGGACACAUCUUUUGUUAUAAGAAAUGUUGGCUUUCUUAAAAUCGUUGGACCAAAGUUUGGAUCACUCAAUCUCCUCACUAUACUGUUAAUUGUUGUUUAAUCAUUUCUGUUUCUAUAUAAUUUUCUUAGUUUUUGUUUUUUUUUUUUGGGAUGGAUUGUAUUGUUUAAGAACCAGUAAGGAUGAUUUUAUACUCUUUAUCCAGUGUUGCUCUCUUCAUUGCCACUGUAAACCAUCACCGAAUACAUAUUCUAUCUGAUUACGGGAUGUAAAUGGAUUUCUAAGAUACUCUCACUUUCUCAAGUAACAUAGUGUUCAUCAAUCUUUGGUAUGGUUUAAGCUUAAUACCAUUUAAAGCCUCUCCAAGCUAACGCCUUAUUAUAAUAGUGGUACUCAACUGGAUCAGAUAAGGCUUUGGUUUUUUAAAUUAAGGAGGUUUGAGGAGGAAGACCUUCCAAAAUUUUUCAACAUUUGCUUUUUAAGUCUAGUUUCAUAAAUACAAACUUUUUUCUGCUUUUCUUGCAUUGCUAGUUCCCAUAGACUUGCAUGCUCACUCUUGCUUGAAGGUUUCAUAUACUUGAUCUGUGUCGGAAGGAUAAAUUUUAGUGUAUUGUGUCUAUGUCGCAUGGAACUGUUUUGCAUGAUUCCCUUGCAAUUUCUAUUGUCUUUGGGUUUAUAAUUGUUACUUUUGGUAUCAUUAAUGCAAUAAAUCAUAAACUUCGAGAGAGAAGACAUAACUUUCAAUCAACAUAAGAGUAGAUUGGUGUUGACUUGAGCAAAUUGACCCUUCUACAAUCUAGGGGUCAGAGGAGGAGUGGUCAUUAAAAUUUUCUGUUUCAUUUGAUUGAAAGUCACAACUAUGAAAUGGCUUCCAUUAUGCUGAAACCUUUUUUUUUGUCACUCAUUUAUGUAAUAUAAUGCAUGAUGGAGCUUACAAGUAACUAUAACUUCCCAAAUAGAGACCUGUUUGACUUUUUCCCUGUUAAUCUUUCAUUUUUUCCAAUUAGUGCUGUUACUUUUGUAAAAUUUUACAAAGUUUGCAUUAAAACAAGAAGUUUCGAAUCAAGCCCUUUCAUGUAGGAAUUUCAUCUAAAAAACUUAUGAAAGGGAAGUGUGCAACAGCAUUACCCAAAAUCUGAAAGUAUAAAAAAGCAAUCCAUCAGGUCUCAGGUUUGGAGUCUCGUUGUGUUUGGUCUGGAAGGCCAGCUAGUGCGUGGGGCUAGGUUUGGGAAAAGCUUGGUAUGUGUGUGCAUGUGUGUGCUUACCAAAGAGUGUUUGCUAAAUGCUCUGUUUUGUUUUGUGUGUUUGCAAAAUCUUGGUAGGAAUGUGCGUGGAUUUCUCCUGAUCUAUUUCACUUUUCUCAUUUUUGAAGGUGAUUUCAUAUACAAGGUUUCAUCGCAAUCACCUACUAGGCAUUUCAUUAUACACUCCCGAAAAGCAUUACUUAAUGGACUCACCCCAGCUGAAAAUAGGAAAAUUCCUCCCCUGAAGUAUGUAUUUAACGAGUAUUAAUUUGUUUCUCUAGCUUAACUUUCUGUUGAAGACAUGUUCUACUAUUACUAAGCAAUUAAAAUCAGCUUUUAUGGUACCCUUUGAUCAUUGUAGUUAACUGUCAAUGUCCUUUCUUUUUACACUUGCUGGUGUUGCAGAUACGAAUACUAUUAUGCUUUGUUGCGUGAUUUUCCCGAUCUACAGUUUACAAUAAAUGGAGGUAUACAAACCAUAGAUGAAGUAAGUUUGAAGUAUUAUCUAAUUGUAUGCAUUGGUGAUGAUAAGAUUAAAAUUUGUUUGGGUUGUGUUUUUGCAAAUUCAAUUGAUUAUGCUCUGGUUUGCAGUCAUUUGGAAAGUUUCCAAGAUGGAAACUUUUCAAAAUAUCCUCUCCAUCUACCUUCUUGUCACACAAAGACAGUAUUAAAAAAUGUAAUGCUAAGGGAGGAAUCAUGGGUAUGAAUUGAUUGUGUAUGCGUACUAGAUGACUAAGGACACAGGAAAUGAGCAGUGUUAACAAAAAUACUCAAAUGAACGAUUUGGGGACUGAUGGAUAUUCAGAACUGGUUUUUAGGGACUUUGGAUGGCUCUAAUGGUGAGCUCAAGGAAAAGUGCUUGGAUGUUGCUCAGAAUAGGAAGAGGACUCUGCUUUAAGCAUCACUACAAACUGACAUGACCGUUAACGUCCUUUUUUUUUUAUGUUUCCUGAAAACGUUUUUGCUCAUACGAGGGCUACUGGAGGGAAAGGGGGACUCGACCCUGUCCCUACUAGCUUGGCAUUAUUGUAAGAUAUAUGGUUUAUGGUUUAGCUGGAAUUGCUCUAUCAAUUCAAAAGUAGAAAAAACUUGCUGGAGAUACUUGAAAUCUAAUGAGUUUAGUAUAGAAGUCUGCAUGGCCAGAGGCAAGGCAUGUCAAAAUGAAAGGUCAAAAGUAGCACGGUUGACCAAGAGUUACAUGUGAUGUGGGAGGUAGAUUUGAUAGGAUUUUUGGUAUCUUUAAUAGGGAGGUUAGGAAAUACUGGAAUACUUGAAAUGGUCAUGGGGAAAUGGUUAAAAUGAGCAGGAAGGCUGACUUAUGACUCUGGAGGUUUUGGAUUAGAUUUGCCCAUUUGAUUUGUCUGUACCAUUAUCUAAAGUAGAUGAUGCAUUCCAUGGAAAUAGCAUUUUUAAAUAAAAUUAGUCUUCGUUUUACUUUUCUUUUUGAAGAUUGGUGGAUCUGUUGUUCACAAAGCUUUUUCUUAGAUUGGCGGGUCCCCCAUACUGGGUAUGGUUGCCAAUAAACAGCAAAGAGCAACUGUUUAUAUCAAAACCACAGUACUCCUCUUCAUCUGGGCAUAAGCGAUGGUCCAAAUCCUUGAGAGAUUGUUUCCAGGGCAUCUCUGUUUGGAAUGGAUCUCAAUUGGCAUUCUACACUAAACUGAUGCAAGGAAGACAGGAUUCAAAUUUUCCAACUGUUAGAAUAAAAAUUUGGUACUGGAGGGUUUUUUUUUUUAUUAUUUUAAAUAAUCAUUAUAGUUUGGGCAGAUAGAUUAAUGUAUGUUCUGAGAGAGUUGGACAUACUCACAACUUAUUCUUGCUUAAAAGCUAGUGAAGAUAGUCAGAUUGUGACACGUGUUCACCAGGUGCCAAUUACACUGGCAGGGUUAGAGAUGGGUGAUACGACUUCCACUACAGAUUGUAUACAAAAAAUAAUUACCAAAGUAUUUAGCCAGCUCAAUUCCUUGUCUGCUCUCAACUUUUGUAUUUACAUUACUUCGGAUAAAAUUAGCAGACUCGAUACAGUGAAUCCAUUUUUUAGGAAGCCUUGUUCAAAUCAUUAUGGAAAUGUAACUUCGCCCACUUUCAAGUCCAUUUAACUGUCUUAGAAAGUUUAGCAAGUUUUGUCGCUAUUAUCCAUAUCUACCUCCUAGGACACCCACAUUAAUAUUGGGGAACUUUUUGGUUACAGAAAAUGCAUGACCAAAUGUGGAUAUUAUAAGAUCAGAUGAAUAUUAGAAAAGAAGGGGAAGUUGAGUCCCAAAUUAAUACUGUGAUUUGGCAAGAUGAUAACAUGGAGCUGAUCUAGAAUAUCAUUUGCAAGUCUGUUUUGUUUGUUUUAAGCUGGCUUUAUGCCUGGGUUAAGGUAGUGACUUUGUUCAAAACGUUUGGCUCAUAGUUUCUGCAUUUGGAAUUGCAUCUUGAGGCUUUUGUAGCCUAGGCUAACUGUAAAGUGAGGUAAUGACAACCAUGUGCUGUCAUAUCUUGGUCUCCAACUUUUAUAGUGAGAUUAAAUAUUCUAGUCUCCAAAUCUAUUUGACCCAAAAAACUGUGCCAUCCAAGCACUUUUAGGCAGCUUAUGAAACGAAGAAUAUUCUUCGGAAAUGAACUCCCGCUUGUUUAGGUUUGAAGCCUAUGUUCUGUUCUAUCUUUGAUCAGAUUUCUUCUUCUCUGCACUCUUAUCUAUUUCUGUGUGUGUGUUUCUGCACACACACAGAGUGACCUGACAGUCAUCUAAUAAUAUCUCUAUCCAACCAAUCUUGCUAUUCCCAAUCACUACAAUUAAGCUUAAAACUCUUAUUCUACCAACAUAAAAUUUCCAUAAAGGUGUAUAUGCUCAAAUACACUAAAUUAGCUACUGAGCUAGCAUAGUUCGGGUGUUGAAGUUAUCGAUCCCAGAUAUUAGUAUAUGGAUAAAUGUCACCGUUGCCAUACACAAAAAAGGUGCCUUUAGCUCGUUUUUAUUGUUUAGCAAAUGUUUGAUACUCUUAAAGAAUCUGGAGUUACUAGUAUUUUGUGUUUAUUCUGUCUUUGCAAAUGAUAGAUUAUGAAGUCAUGGUUCAUGGAAAUUUCAUUGAGGCCACAUCAGGUGAUUUGGUAAAAUAUGAUAGCAAUGAAACGAAUAACAUUGACAACAAUCGACUAGAACUUAACAGCCUUUUCAUUACGAAUGGUGACGAUAUACUUCUAUUGAAAUUUUGCCUAGGUAAAUGCAGCAAGAACAGAAGGUGCUCAUGGUGUUAUGCUUGGACGUGCAGCCUAUAGCAAGUAUGAAGAAGCCGUUUCCCAUAUGCUUCCUAUCUAUGAAAUAUGGAUGCGUUGUUUUUGGUUGAUGAUAGCACUUGAUGAACUCUUGUGGACUUUGUUUCUUCAAUCUAGUCAUUCAAAGCUUCAGUUUUGCAUUUUAAGUAUAAUCUUUUACUUAUGUGACUUGUGUUGCAUGUGUCAUUAGAAUUCUCGAUGAAGAUAUUGAGAGACUCUUAUAGAUCUGGGUACUACAUUUAAUAUGCAUGUGGUUUGUGUCUAUACUUUUGUUUUCCACUUUGCUUGUAAAAAGGGGGUGGAUAUCAAGAAAUGGUUACCUUUUGUUUAGGUAUCAAAUGGCCCAUGCCAGAUCUCGAAUUUUUAAUGACAAUUGUUGGUCACUUUUCACUGCAUAAUUCUGGACCAUGAAUUAAAGAAAAACAGUAGAUGAAGUAUUAUCUAAUGAGAAUUUUUUUUGACAUCUUUCAUUUAUUUGCACUUGAUAUUGUGGUGUGGCCAAUUAGUAGAUUUUCUAAUUUUCACCUGUCAAUAGCAGUGACAAAUCACAUAGGGCUAUCUGCAUUAUAUAUUUUAUCAUGAUUCUCAACUUUUGGAAAUGAUCUUACCUCUUUUUGAGCCAUUCUCUGUCUCUUGCCUGGUUGGCUAAAAACCAAGUUUAAAUCUCUCUCUCUCUCUCUCUGUUGCCUGGUUGACUAAAUAAAAAGUUUAAUUUUUGCAGUCCAUGGCAAACAUUGGGACAUGUAGACAGUUUAGUAUAUGGUGCACCUCGAAGUGAUCUAACCAGGCGUCAGGUUCUAUAGUUGGAUUAUGCAUCAUAUUUUGCCAUUGACUGUGUUCCUAAGUUGUCCAUAUAUUUUUGUUCUAGGUCCUUGAGCAGUACCAGAUAUAUGGUGAUUCAGUCCUUGGCAAAUAUGGGCAAAAACCAAGUGUUCGGGAUGUUGUUAAGGUAUGAAGUCUGCUCAUGUUUCAUCCAAUUAAUGUUUUCAACAUCGGGGUUCUUGCGUUCCGUUUUCUUUUACGAGACAGGUUAUAAUACGUGCAAAAUUGUUGACAUUUUAUUGUUCUCUGAACUUUCUCUGCUUUUGCUUAUCAUCACAUUCCUCUUCUAAUGGGGAUAGGAUGUUGCAUAUGGUCAUUUCUUGCUUGCACUUCACACUCAUAGCACAAAUCGCAGCCUCCAGCUAGUGGGGCCCAAACUAACUGUCCCCAAAUGGACUUUUGCCAUAUCUGGUUGUUUUGUUCAUAUAUCACAGAAACCGCUUAAUCAAAAGUAUCUCUUUAUGCACUUCAUUCAAUUUCCACAAUGUAUCAGUUUCCCCAUCAUUUAAGAACAGAUUUUGAGUUGGUAGCUCUGCCGUGAUUCUAUAGAACAGCUGCUGCAAAGACUAGAUGUCCAAGUUGCCACAUGCUUUGGAUUUGAAACAUUAGAAUUUAGUCUUAUGCUCUUGGCCAAUGACAUGCAACAGGUUUUUAGUUUUUUACUACAUGCAUAAUAUGUUAACAACUCCUUGAAGGCAAUUGUUCAAGUUGUCUCUGAUAGAGUGAUAGAAUGUCGUUAUGGUCCAUAAUGGUUAAUGUGAACCAAUUGGGGUCUUUAUUGUUUAGAAAUUGUAUAAUGAGGAUUCCUGCUCUGGUGUCAAUCGCUUUUCUGGCUGUAAAUAGCAUAAUUGAUUACCUGCCUGUUUAGGGGCAAAAUCAGGGACUAAUGCAUAUUUCCCUGCAAUAGAUGUGAUGUGUGCAAAGCAUGUUCUUCUAUCCUGCACAGUUAAAGGGACAAAAAUCUGAAAGUUAGGUCAUCAUAUUGAUUAAUUUCGUAUGUCAUGCAUAUUAGCUGGAUUUUUUUCCAGCUAAGAAGUGAAAGGCUGUGAGCCUACAGACUGUAAGGUGCAUCUGUUAAAAGUAUAGGUAGGAUUUGCUUCAUUUUAAAUUUGUGGACUAAAAUUAGAUUUUGAGAAUUUAUUGUGACCAGUUUUGCAGUUUUCUUGGUAGAUGAGCUUCAAAUGGCUGGUUAUGGGUGUUAUCAUUGGUAUUGCAUUAUAGCUGGCAAAAAAAGUCAAAUGGGCUUGUUCUCUUUGUCUUGCAAUUUUGAGACUUUGGAAGUCUGUGUGUGUGAUAUGUCAUGUUCUGUUAUGAUUGGCUCAAAUGGGUUUCACAUGCUUUCCAUCCCUUUGCAUAUGUUGUACUUGUUGGGAUCUCCUGAUUUAAUUGUAGUUGCUAAUUUGGUUAGAGAUAUAUUAUCUAUUUCUAUCUUGUUCUCCUCUUACCUAAAUAAAAGUCAAUUUAGCUUAGUGCUCUAUGCCACAAGCUGUCAAAGCAUUUCAAUUGUGUGGAAGACACUUAAAAUGCACGAGGGUCUGCAUAAAUGAGAUUUUCUUGUACAUAUGUAGAAGAAACUCUUUCCAUGUGUUUUUGGUUUUAUGAGUCAAUCAUGGGCUUGUUCUCCAGCCGCUAUUUUGAAAUGAGAGGCUGAAUUUGAGAAGCAGUCUUGGGUUGCUAGUAAAAACAGCUUUUGGCUUAAUAAAACAUACAUGUUUUACAUUUCUUCUAAAAGAUUUUUUGAAUCAACUUACUUUCCAAUUUCAAAUAACCCGAUUAUAGUUUUUUAUAAGCUGUUCCAGACAAGCCUAAAAUGGAAUUGGUACAACAAAUUUUGAGAAAAGCUGAUUUUGAGAAGCAGUCUUGGGAUUGCUUUCAAAAACAUGAAAAAGAUGCACAUUUUAAAUUUUUUCCAAAGAUUUUUGAAAUCAACUUCCCAAGUUCAAAUUACUGAUUAUAGUUACAAGAUGUUUCGAGCAAGCCUAAAAUGAUAUUGGUACCACAAAUUUUGAGCAGCAGUCUUUGGGUUGCUCUCAAAAGCAGCUUUUAGCUUUUUAAAAAAUGAAUAGGAUACAUGUUUAAAUUUUUUCCGAAGAUUUUUGAAAUCAAUUUACUUUGCAAUGUUGAUAAUGUGGUUAUAGUAUUUUAUAAGCUGUUGAGAACAAGCCUAUAUGUAUAUUGGUACCACAACUUGGGUGAUGCUUCCUAUCCCACCACAUGGUCUUGGGGAAUUCAACUAUCUGUUCUGUGUUGCCUGAUUAAUGGUGGAAGUUGAAAGUAAAAUACCAGCUGUUGCUGUCUUAAAACUGCUAACCGAAACUUAUGCAAUUCUUUUGUCUUACUGCAGCCUUUGCUUGGUCUUUUUCAUUCUGAGCCUGGAAAUGCCUUAUGGAAACGCAACGUUGACUCUGCUUUUCAACAUUGCACGGUAUGUUACUAUCAAACAGAAAUAUGUCAAUGACAUUAUUUUUAAGUGUUUGUUUUAUUUUUGUCUUAAUAAAUCUUGGCUACAAUAGGACCAUCAUAUCCACGUUAUCUUAAGCUGUGAAUAUGGACCGUUAGGUGCAAUAGAGAUUUUUUUUUCCUAGUUAAUACUUUUCGUGCAAGGAGUAUUCAGGUAAGAAUAUUUUCUUUCCCAACAUAAAACUGGAAUAAGGAGUUGAAUUAUAGGUAGGAUAACCAAGCAGUUGGCAUACACACGGCAUACUGAAGUGCUAAGUGCAGAGAGAAAGUCAAUCGAGUUGUCAAAAUGGACUAUUUACUCCUGAAAAAAAUAUAGAAAUCAAAAUGUUCCCUUUAGCUUCUAUUUGGAAUUUUCUGUUUCUUGGAGGUUUCCUGUUUCUGUCAUUCCAAAGAUCCCAUAUCCUGCUAAGGGUGCAACCUUUCCUUUCCUGUUUGUCUUUUUCAUAUUCCUCUUUGCCAGCAUAAGAAUAUUUUUUUUUACUGAUCCUGGCUUGUUCCACUUUAUAAUUCAGAGAAGUAAAUAUGAAACACCAACAUUUUUGGGCAGUGUACAGUAGAAAUAUGAUGAGGUCAUAAAGUUUUUUUUUUUUUUUGAGAAUUUGUUCUAGGAUAAUAAUUGUGUUUAUUGUGCAGUGAGGGAUGCUAGCACCCCCUAUACUGUCUUUCCGAACUAACCUUAGUAUGAAUGAGAUAGUGUUACAGUUCUAUUGCAAUUUGAUAAAACACAAAAAUUAUUGCAGGAGGUAUGCAGGAGUAGUUAUAGCUCGCCUCUGAAGUCCAAUUUAAAAACCUAAACAGGUUGAGCUGGUCUUAUUGCUCCAGAAAGACAUGUAAACCAAUAUAGCAUUUAUUGUAUUCAUUUUUAUUUUGACCUCUUGUUCCUGUUGUCGUGUAAAGCCCACGGUUCACAUAUUGCUAAAAAUGCAAGCUUUCAUGUCCGCCUCUUCCUUCUCUAUCACAAGCUUAUACUACCUUACCCUUGCAUGCAUCACCAUGUAGUGCCAAUCAUUUUUAUCUGCACAUUUUGACACUCUUGCUACCUCCUCCCAAGUAUGAUCUACGUAACAAUUUCUUCCUCGUUAGAUGGAAACUCCAGCUGCUAAACUCUUCUCUUCCUUUUUUUCAUAGUUAGGAUGGCAUUAGCAAUGGGGCCUCGAGUGAAGAAAACCAUUUCGUAGGGGCCUGUGUUGCCUUUCAAGGAAACUUUGUUCUCCUUUUAUUACUAAGCUUUGAUACUAGGACUUUGACAAUGAAGUUGCUCCUCUUGCCUUGUUUUAACAUCCAGUUAUAAGUGUGUGGUACUGAUUAACAAUAUUCAUAGAGCUUUACUGGGUGGGACUGAACUGAAUUAACCUUCCAGUCUACAGUCGCUAAUUAUAUUUUGGGUAGUUAUGGUUUCUUAUAUUUUAUGUUCCUGUGUAUUCAAUGGUUUUGGUUUGAGCUCUAUCUGAGAAAUUCAGUCUUUUCCAUUGGCAGCACAGCACAUGAAAAAUCCUGGAAAAUCUGUUGUAAGUGGGUUUUGACCACAACAUUUCUCCUUCCAAAAUUUCACUCUAGCACCAUUACUAACCUAGAAAAGUAUUAUAACAACAAAGGUAUCCUAGCCAGCCAUAAUUCCCUUCGAAAGCCUCAUAUGGGGCUACGGUCUUCAGGCCCUCUACAGGUUAUCCAGUUGCCCAUUUAAGUGCAUAUGUUUAAGCAACUUGGGCCUUGGCAGAUAUCCAUAUUUAUUUUGUUGUUUUUUAUAGCCUAACUUGCAGAAUAUAAGAGCUAGUUGAUAAGAUUUAAUUGUUGCAAUGAAAGAAGAUGAUUUUAAAGAUUACAUAUGCUUGUUCAAUACUUUUCUGCCUAAAAAGCUCUUGCAGUGCUUUCAAUCAUCUUUAGUGGCUACCUUUUUCAUUUCUCCUAAAGAAAAGAAAUAGCAAAAAAGGCAUGGUGAUCUUUCCUCCUUGUACCUUUACUGUUUUCUUUUUGAGUAUACUUAAAUAACUUUAUAAAAGUACUAUUGUUAGCAAGAAAAAACUAUGUCUGGUCACUGUACAGUUUUCUGUUUUCACACAGUUUCUUCUACAUGAGUAUUAACCAAUAGGCUGAUGAGAAUUGAUUUUAUGUUAUCCCCUUGUUGUUGAAGGCAGUUUUAGUAAUGGCAACCUUGUGCUAGUUUUUGAAUGUCGAAUUGGGUUGACUGCCUUAGAACAUCAAUUAGAACCUGAUGUUUAUCAAUGCUGAAACUGCUGAUGUUCUCAAAAUGUUUGUUCCUACAGGCUUAUGCUGCAGUUCAUAGCCUAAAAGAAUAAAGAUAUUAUAAAUGAAAUAAAAUAAGGAUGAGAGAUUAAUCUCAAAACCAAUGUAGUAUAAAUUGGUUUUGAAGGUUGAAAACACUAUCUGUAACAUUCAUUUCUAAAUGCUUUGCUCCAUUGUUUUGUUUGGUUGCUUCACCAUGGGAGUUGAAUUUCAAGUUCUUUUAAAAAAAAGAGUAGGAAAAAUAAUAGACAAAAAUGAUAGAAACAGCGAUUGUUGUCUUCUUGGCUGAAUUUUUGACUGCUCCACAGUCACUUUAAGGAAUAGCAGAUCCUGAAAAUACUAUAUCAUAUUCUAAUCCAUGUGAAACCUGAAUUGCGGUGGUCUGCAGUGGAAUUGGAUGGUAAAUUAGUCCAAAUGUUAAGUUAGCAUAUUUAUGUGCAUUUAUUUUGACUGUCCGAAGACUCUGGUUAUUGUUGGAAGACUUAGCAACAACAAAAUCUUAUUGCUGUACCUCUAAGACAUAAAAAUUGUGAUAACAUGCGUCAUUGUUUAACUACUUUGGGAUGAGAACUCUUUGGUGCAGUAGCUCUUUUCCUCUUCCUUUAUGAUUAGCCACAUAAGAAGGAUAUCCUGUCUGGAGGUUUUCAUAGUACAUGCCUUCUAAGACAUACGUUUUCCUGGCUCUACGCUUGGUUUAGGUUUUGAGAUUGUGUGAAUGGAAGGCUUUUAAUUGAGGUCUUGCUUGGAUGAAGGUAACUACUCUUUACCUUGGGAGAAAACUGAGAGGGAAGUGGAAACUAAAUUGGCAACAUCCUCACAACCUCUAAACCAUCAGAACUGGAAUUUUGGCUAUUGAAUUUAUUUACUAUCAUAUGCACCAGUAUUGAAGAAAGUACGAGUAAUAUGAGAGUGUUGAUAUUUGAUCAAAGUGCAAAACAGUUUGAGACAUUUCUCAUAGAGCUUCUCCAUUCAUGCAAUGUGAUCUUAGAAGCAUCACUAGCUGCAUGUACUCCUAACUAUUUCAGCAAUUUGUGGUUUGAAAAUUCUUUUCUGCCUUUGGAAAUUCUUGCCUGCCCUAUUGGGCAAGGGGCGGUGGUUUAGAGGUAGGGUUUGACCACCACGAUGUAAGAAAAUCCCAUGAUAUAAAUAAAUCUUGUUUUGGGUAAGGUAAAUUUAUUUUUGUUUCAUGUUCUCUCAAAGGUAUCUGCAAAUAUUGUUGACUAUCUUUUUACUAGCCUAAUAUUUGUUUUUGAAGUAGGAGUAUGAAAGAGUUUAAAUGUGCUUGCUUGAUCAAUUGCCUGUUUACUAAGUAUACAAUUUGAGAAAAAAAGAAGGAUAGAGGGAGGGGGAGAGAGAGGGAGGGAGAGAGAGAGAGAGAGAUUUUGCAAUAGAACAAAGCACCAUGAACUAACCAUUAUCUAACUGCCUAUUUCCCAGAAAAAUGCAAAACUGUCUAGCUCCUGGAAACAUUAAUGCAGCAGAUAUAUGGCAUGCAGUAACCAUUUCUUGAACCUCAACAUAGUGCCAAAAUUUGGUGAUUUAAAAUCCAUUAAUAGUGUCCAUAUUGAUGGUCGAUUUGUUCCUUGUUAUUAGCUAGGAAAAAGAUAUUGAAAUCUAUGAAUUUCCAUUCAACUUAAAAGUGCUACUGAGUGCAAAAGCCUGCUCGUCAUAUCCAUGGACUUGAAGUCAGCUGUUCCUGUCUUUCUGUGAUUGUUUCUGCACUUUAAUAUGAUUGUGAUUAGUUUGUUGCAGAAAAUGAUUUAGCAGUUUUGUGCUUCCUACACAUGUUGACAUGAUUAUUUGAAUUUUACAGACUAUAAAAUCCCUUUUGGAGGAGACAUUGGUGGCAAUUCCUGACUUUGUUCUGGAUUCACCUGUUGGUGUGGCACCAUCUGGUUGCACAGAAGCUUUUGCCAAUUCAAAAAGUUUAUUACCUCCUCCAUAUAUAACCACAGAAAAAGAGAUCAUGUAUGCCUAACUUUAAAUGCAUGCAAAACUUCUGAUGUUCGCUAUGUAUUGCAAAGAUAUUCAGUAGUUUCUAUUCUUUGGGAUAUAAAUUGGAUGUCCCGUGUAAAAUCAGGAAAUUUCUUUUUAGGAUACAAGUAGGCUGAAAGGGCUUACAUGCAGACUCUUAGCUACCACUGUUCAGACUAACAAUGUUCUGAGUUAAAGAUUCCACAAAGUUAUUUAUAGAUUUAGGUUCCUUCUCAAGUGCACCAAUCUAUGCCUGUGGCAGAUAUUUUACCUAUAUAGACUCCUUAUGGUGCCCAUUCAAGUUUCCUGUAGUACUCGUAUUUCUGAAUUGGUACUAUGCAACAUGUGUUGAUUCGCCAGUUAUGAAUUUCAGAGAGAUUUGAACGAUGUUAUCAGGUCAAUAUUGCUGCAAACUAUAUAUGUUGGUUGAAAUUAACUUUGUUUUGCUAUAUUACAUGCCACUCCUUUGAGAUCAACUUUUACUUCCGGAAGGGGUACGUGGCAUCACUGUUUCUCUUGUUUGUGAAAUAGCCCUUAAUCAUGCUUAGUCAUGAUCCUGAAUAUAACUGGAGCCCUUAAGCAACAUAUAGUUUGAGACCAUAUCAUCAUUCUGAGCUUGCUUGAUCAAGAUCCUGACUGUACCUUGAGCAUUUGCAAUCUCUUCUCCCUUGCAUAGAGCGUCCGCUAAUGCGUUGAAACUGAAGACUUCUGGAACAGUAUUGAAAGCUGUCAUCUCAGUGAAGAACUUUCCAACCUUCUGCCAUCUCCAACAUCUACGGACUCGGGGCAGGGACGGUUGCACCUGCCAAUUUUAGCUCAUUUCAACUGCGCGUAACAUUGGUUCAACUGCGCGUAACUUUUUUUUCACAGGAUGUAUUUUCACAACAGAUAGUGGUGGGCCCCACACUUGGCGCGGAUUUCGAGUUACAUGGUGUUAUUUCAGCCGCACAAAAUUUUGAGGGCCAAUUUUCAGCCGCACAAAUUUUUAACCGUGCAGGGACGGUCAUACUGAUGACCGUCCCUGCCCCAAAUCCAACAUCUACGUGUAUUGCUCUGUAACCUGUAUACACAAUGACAUCAGGUUUACGAGUCUUUCCUUUCUUUUUCUCUUUACUCUCAACAUUUUGAUGACUGCAUUAGUCUUUCCCUUCCAGUUUUGGUGGGAGGGGUUUUAUGGAUGUAUUAUCUCUAGCCAAGAUGCGUUUGUGAGUAGUGUACUCUAUUAGAUUUGUGUUAGAUAUACAAUUUUGAUUUCUGUUAGUUUUACCAAAACAAACAUUGUUGCUGUAUAUACCCAUUUUUAACUGAGUACCUAUUAUGCCUUGGAGACAUUUUUCUUCAUUAUGUUCUCAAAUCAAGCUUACUAUUGUAUAAUUUAAUCCUAAAAAGCAUUUUCUAUUAGCUGGAAUAGAAGAGUAACGAUGGUUUUUUUUUUUUUGGACUUAUCAUAUUAGUUUGUGAAGCAAAUGGAUUGCCUUGAUUAUUGCAAAAAGGAUAAACUCUGUUAUACUAAUUGUUCCUUUGAAUGUGUUUUGCCUCAUCAUUUCUUUUUCUUUGUUUCAAAAAAUCAACUUCAAACGAGAUCCACUUCUUCAAAAGUGGCGAACAGAUGCAAACUUGAUCUCAAUAUUCAAAUAAACAAAAAAAUUAGAAGGGUGAAUAUGUAAAAAAAAAAUUCAGGCUUUCAAAUCAUGCAAGAUUGAAAGAAACAAGUGAAUUGAGUAAUUUGUGUAACAUUAGCACAUAAACCAAUCUCAUAAAUGAAAAUCAAAUUCAUGCUGUGAAGGCUGUGAAGUAGAAAUCAUGAUGCAUUACAUAUGAAUUAAGUGGAUCUGUGCAUUAAUGUGAAUUUGAAGCUAAUGGAAAUGUUUAGAAACAAAAUUGGAUGUUUUAAGAGUUUGAACUCCAAAAAACCACAAAUGUAAUUUAAUUAAGAAUUAAUCUUUCUUAUAUUAAAGCGGUAAAGGUUUUCUUUUUUAAUCACUAGCCGGUUUUAAUGUAUGAAACUAGUUUUUAUUAAAAUUUAAAAAUUUAUUUUUGCACAUGUGUCAUGUAUCCACAUCUGCUAAUAUAAAUGAACCUUUACGUACACUCAAGAUGUAGAAAACAUUAAUCCAAAAAUUAAUUAAACCUAUUAUAUUACUUAUCAAUUAACCCAUAUGAAAUCAUUUAUUCCGUUACAAAUUAAGUUUGAAUAUCUAAUCCAGCAAUCUUUUUGGACCACUAUAUCACCAAGUAUCAAUAAGGACUCAUUGAGUUACGGUCUAUGUUUUCAGAACCGGACCGAGUAUCGACUCGGUCAACCUCAAGGGUCAGGGGUCAAUGGGUUCAACCGGAUUCGAUAGGCGUUGAAUCGCAUGACGUCAUAAUUAAAAAUUAUUUAAAAAUUAAAAUAUUAUAUGUAAAAUACCUAAUAACAUGUAAAUAUUAAUAAAUGUAUAUUCAUAUAUAUUUGAUGUUUUAAAUAUAUUUAACAAGAAAAUACAAAGAAAUUAGAACAAUCAAGUAACAAUUUAUAUUAUUUAAUGAGUAUUAACAAGUUUAGAAUUAAAAUUAUGGACUUAAUUGAAAAAUAAUACCAAACUUUAAGAAAAUAUUGAUAAAGUAUGAAAUAUUUGAGGUAUAUAAAUAAUUUUUAACAAUCUAGGGAUCAAAACAUAAUAUUGAAAAAGUUUGAGUUUUUUUUUUAAAUGCUAUUUGAACCGGAAAAAUCCGGUUUUUUCCGGUCAAACCCGAUUUUUGACCGAAUUUUUACUUACUCGAUUUUUAAGCAUGAUUCGGACCGGACCGGUUCCCGGUUUGACUGCGCGGUCCGGUCCGAAUUUUAAAACACAGGUUACAGCUCAAUCAUCCUGAAUAGUCUUUCAGAGUUGACCAUCUGAGAAGGGAGCAAUUUGAUCACCAUUUUGGGCGGGCACUGGGCCGGACCGACAGUGGAACCAAUAAUGGGAAAACAGAAUUUGGCAAAAGGAAAUCAUAUUUCAGCUAAGUAAACCACAAUCUGUUCACGUUACCAAUGCUACAUCUUUCAUCUCUCUCACAUGGCAACAUUAACAAAAAGAUUCAAGCAUACUAUUAGGUCACCAUCUACAAUGGUAAAGAAAAAAAAAAAAGAAAGAAAGAAAAAGUCUUACUGGCUCAUCACAAUGUUAAUAAUACACUUGUUCGAGUCUAGCAAGUUUCAUACCUACCAAUUUCUUUUUUCGUAUUCUUGUUCUUUUUUACUGGAGCAGGAGAGGGGUGGAAUUUGUAUUGCAGAAUGUGAUGGUUUGAUGUCAGCUCAGACUGAAUAGAAACAAUUUGUUAGGGAUUAAAAUAUUUGGAAAUAGUUAUGAUGAAUUUUAUUCGAAAGAAACCAAUUAAAAUGAUUAGUACUAAUUUCUUGAUCACUCUUGGGAACAGAUUCUUUGGCUCUAUGAUUAUGUUUUCAUUAAGUAUCUUGUGCUUAAGAAUGAUGGAUUUUUUCUAGUGGCUGUGGAAGAAAUAAGCCGUGUUUUCUUUUGUUGAUCUGCCAUGUAGCUCUUCUGUGCAUAUUUUAUUUGUUUGGUUUUGCUAGUGCAUGCUCUGAUCAGGAAUCGGGUCCUGUGUUACAAAGAGGAUGAUGAUGAUAGCAUGUUUUUGGAUGCUGUUACGGAGAAUCAGUCUUCUUGCUCUUGUCAAAAAUUUAUUUUUGUGUCCUGUGGUGUAGAUUCCAACAAGGCAAUGUAGAAAUAUUUGUAGAAUGAACUUAAUUUAUGCUUUCUGAGUUGGUGCUAUACCAAAUUUAGCUUUAAGUUUAGCUCAGAAAUUAUUAUUCUGCUAUACUGUCUUCACAUGCAUGGAUUUAAGAUGCCAUUUUGUAAGAUGCAAUAAUAGCUGAAAAUUUUCUUUUUUUCUGCAUCUUUAGUAUUGCAUCACUACUUUGGUUAAGAUUUUUUUUUUAAUUGAGAGUUCUUGGUUAGCGGGGCGAAUUUCUCGAAAUAAUGUUAAAACCAAAAAAUAUCACAAAAGUAGUGCUGCACAGGAUAUGUGGAUAAUAUAAGGGUCGAUGCAGGUGGAAAUAUCGGUGCAAAAAAAAAAUCCGAAAUAUUUUUACAUUUAUUUUCAACUGCUUAACAGUUUUUUAAAUUAAGAUUUUCGAUAGAAUUUUUUAUUUUAACCGUAGAUGGACCGUUGAUUAAUAUAUGUCAAAGGUCAUUAUUUGAAGGUGAAGAAAACAAUUUUUCAAAUCCUAUUCCCGCACAUAAAAUUUGUAGUGAAGGAUUUUUUAAUUUUUUAAUGCCGCACAUGGAAAAAAUUUGUGAACCGUUGAUCCACUUAUCAACGGCCCCAUAUCGGCACAAAUUAAAUUUGCGGCAAUAUGAAUAAUUUUUUUAAUUUAGCACAAGUGAAAUUUGUGGACCGGUCGACACAUUUGUGGCGUUAUAAAAUUUUUUUAAUAUUCCGUACAUGCGAAAUUUGUGAACUAUUGAUCCACUUGAUCAAUGGUCCACAAAUUGCCGCAAAUUACAUAUGCGAAGAUCUGAAAUAUAUUUUUUGUGAAACCGCAAAUAUCAUUUGCGACAUUAAUUUUCAAAUUGUUGAUCAAAUCAUGAUCAACGGUCGUAGUUCAUAGGUUUUUUUUCAUUUGCUGCAAAUUUGAUUUGCGGCGAUAGAAAAAUAGUUUUUUUUAAUGCAGCAGCUCUGGACCGUUGAUACAAGAGAUCAACAAUGCCAGCUUCAAUUUUAAAAAAAAAUUUCAGUCAAAGUAGCAUUGCAAAUUCAGUACAAUUAUUGUAUCAAAAUAACUUUCUACAAUUAUUGUAUCAUGCCGACAGUUUUCUAUAAAACUGGCCUUUAUUCACUCAAGUGAGAACCCCAACUUCAGACUAACAUUUCUAUUUUCUUUCUUGCACAAUCCCCAAUCCAAAUCCCUCCUCAUCUUCUCCUCUAUCUUCUCAAAGUAGCCAUUGUUCCGCAGGAAGAUUAUCUCUCAUUAUCCUCUGAUCAGAAAAGUGAUGAAUCGAGUGGCAUUAUCAUUUCAAUGAUGGCAUAGAUUGAAAAAAAUGGUGAAUCGAGUAGCAUUGUCAUUCGAGUGACGAAAAAAGUGGUGGAUCAGAAAAAUAAUUUUUGAAGAAGUGCAGAAUAGUGCUGCCUGUUGUUAUAAAUGUUAGUUUAUUUAAAAGUUUUAUUAGUAAUUAUUUUAUAAUAUUUACAAUUAUUUUAAGCUAUACAUAUUAUGCUGCUGUUUGAUUAUUCAAUCUGAGUGUCAAUAGUCCUUAGUAGAUGAUUAUUUACUAUUUGUUUUUUAGAUUAAAUGUGUAAUUUGUAUUUUGGAAGAUUAUUUAAUCUGUUUAUUUUCAGAGGUAAAAUUCAGGCAAUUGCGCUUUUAUUGCUUUCUCAAUUACCACGACGUCGUCACAGUGUCGGAUGUUAAAGCUCAAUCAAAAGCCUAGCAAUGCCCAAACCCCUUUUUUAAUAUAAUAAUAAAAAAAGAGGCUAUUUUGUAAAAAGCGGGUGAGAUGAUAUUAUUAUUAAUUAUGAACGAUGAUAUUGUUGUUAUUAUUGCAACACUUGAUUAAGUUAAACUUGAUAGUAGUUAUAUUUGAACACAGAAAAGAUAUAUUUUUUAGAGUAAUUAAAUACUACCCCAUUAAGUAAAAAUUUUUGAGCCAUGUAGCAAAUUUUAUUUAGGCAAGUUUAGGGGUAUAAUUUAGUCAAACUAUUUGACUCGAACUUGCACGUAAUUUAAUCAAAGGUUCAACUUCGUUGUUGAUCAAAUAUACUUGGUAUUGAGUCGGAUGUGAAUAGGAAAAUUCAAAUUUUGAAAUUCUUCGUUGACCUUCAUAGAAUAAUUAUUUAAAUAUAAUUUUGAAAUUAUUUUUACAAAAUUACAUUUUGAAAUCAAUAAUGGUUCACACUUUUUUUUUCAACGGCUCAGUUGAAAGGAGGCAGGAGGAAGUAAUUAUCUGAGCCAAAAGUAGGGCAUAUUACAUUAAAAUAUCUGAAAAGGAGAAAAGAACUUCCUAUAGUUCGACGAAUACCUCUGAAAAUAAUUUUCAACAACCGAGCUUCAGAAUUUGCCUCAAAAAUCCCAGUAAUUAGUUCAUUUCAGACCGGAAGACGAUGGCGAUGAUGAUGAUGAAGACGGUGACGAUGCAGAGAAGAGCUUCUUCUGCGGCGAUUGUUUCCAUUGCUCGGUCUCACGGAGCAGCGGCUUCAUUAGGUACUCCUGCUCCUGCAGGUUGUACUACUCUUGCAUCAUUCCUCUCUGCAUUCCCAAACCAUAAACCCCAUU